UUUUUUUUUGUAUGAUAUUUUGCAAUUUCUAGUGUUUUGAUUGAGCUUGUUAUGACCUAUUUGUAAGCCAUCUCAUGCUUUAGAUUUGUGAUUAGAUCAUUGUAUAUAAGCCAAAAUGAGUUUAUGAUAAGGAUUAAGGACUAUGCUUACUGUAUGAAUGAAACUGAGAGUGAAGUGGUAUUUCUUUUUAAUAGGUAGACAUGGACUUCCUGACUGUAAAAAAGAAAGAACUUACGUUUAAAAAAAAUAGUCCAAAUAUGGUCUCAAGUCUAGACUGGAAUAAGCCUCUCUUUUUUUGGCUUUCAUUUUUGCAGCCCUAAGAAAAGUGCAGUAAAUGGGCGAUGCAUUCCUUAAAUACUUGAAAAAAAUUCAUUUGUGAUUUCUACCACAUAUAUUGUUGCUGCUACAUGCACAUAUAUUCUUUUUGGCUACACAAUUUCCUUCAACGGCCAAAGGCUUGUCUAUUAGUUUUCUUUGUAUUUGAUGAAAUAUUGUAACGAGACAAUUUUCAAGGCAAGAUACAUGAAACAAAAGUUGAAAGCAUGAUAGCAUUGUACUCCCUCCGUCCCAAAAUUCUUGUCUUAGAUUUAUCUAGAUACGGAUGUAUCUUACACUAAAACAUGAAUAGAUACAUCCGUAUCUAGACAAAUCUAAGACAAGAAUUUUGGGACGGAGGGAGUACAAUUUUAUCUCAUUAAAAAAUGAUGUGCACGUAGUAUACAGAUCGAAAACUGAAUGAAAAAAAUACGUGCAACAUUUUCUUCUUUGCAUCAGUCAAUAUGUACAUGCACAUUUGCACGUACACGGUUACUAGUUGGUGCACGUACACGGUUACUAGUUGAAAAGAAAUUGUCCACAAUUCUUUAUGGCUCACCAGCUCGUGUACCUGCACUGACUGAAAAUCUCCGGAUGAAACUAGACCAUAUGGAGGGGCAAAGAAGCAUCAUGGUGCCUCACCACACAGUUCAUUUCGUACUGGGAACUGGAAACUAUAACAUUUUCAAAGCCAGCCGUUUUAAAAUAGAUGACCCAAUUUUAUACUAAUAUUGUACUAAAGUUAGUAUAAACUUGAGUCAUCUAUUUUGAAACGGAGGGAGUAUGAGCCGAGUACAUGUCAGCGCAACCAAGCAACAGAUAAUAUUCAGAUUUGGAUUUGGGCAGAAGUGCCGAUCAUCAUCGAGCAAAGAAGAGAAAGAAGAAGGCAUACUACAACUUGAAUCUUCAGAUUUGGUAGCUUUGUAUAGAGACUCAAAAGGGCACAGACAUGCUGCUGCUGGUACUGAUUUUCUAGCUAACUGAAGCCCAACUUCCUUUGCCGAAGUCAACUACUUCCAACUUGAUGUCACAGAUCAGCGAGUCCACUUCUUCCAGCUUGAAGCAAAAGCCAUCCAUCGCAUCCAGUGAUCUCAUCCUUGAAAGAUUCGGAAUGUACCAAAGUUCAGAGGGCCAAAACACCGCAUAGUACGGUCCAAAGCCUGGGAAAGCACGCUCAGACGUCUGACUUUCCAAGUCGUACACCCUCACACCACUCCAGCCACGAAGACCGAAAUUGUCGUGGUGUUUCAGCCGAGGCGUGGUGAAGUAGACGCAGUUGGGCCUGAGCUCCGGAAACUCCCUGAUGGGCAGACACACUGAGUGUUUCAAGCCGACAAACACCGCAUGUUCCGGCAGGGCUGCCGAAGAGCUCAGAGCAACCAGCAUGUGCACUUCGACGUUGACUUGGAGCACCUCUACCUUGAUUUCUCUGGGGUGUUGAGUGCGUCGAACGGUUCGUAUCUGCAGGAGGCGGCCGCAGGCCGUAGACACAAGGAAUCUGGUAAGGACCCUCCUAUACCUUUUGUCCCCGUCGGCGAUGAUCACCUCUUUGUUUGGUUCUUGCAGCCCACAAAGAUCCCACGCCUCGACCACCCCACGCAACGUCACCGUGUAGAAUCUUCCGUCGUGGUAGAGACAAUCGGCAUACCGAUCGUCGCCCCCGUCAGGGAGAGCCGAGGCAAGUCGCCAGCGCCCCUCUCUUGCUCUUGUGAAGGAAAAACAGUUAGCAUCAUAGUGGAUGGCCACGGCAGUGUAGUCAUCACCAUGAGAUGGAUCGCAUGACAACACCACCUUUUGGUAGAACCAUGUGCCGAGGUCUUGCGCACCGGGCUGACUAGGCUCAUGCUGAAGGUAUUUCCCAAAACGAUAGCCCACGAUGCCUCCGUCGGCGUCGUAGACCCCCUUGACGCACUCCAGAUCGGUGAUGGGCGGGAGAAGGAUCGUGGCGAAGGUGAAGGGGUGGUAGAGCACGAGGUUGGAGAGCUCGUCCGACGCGACGAGCCAUCCAUGCGAGGCUCCACACCACUCGAGCCUGCGCCGCCCGGCGGGCAAGCUAACCUUGUGGGUCCUGCGGGUGCCGAGGAGGUUCCGGAACUCGCUGCUCCGGCAGUUGGCCGUUUUCCAGCUAAUGAGCCACGGCGUGCGGCCGCGAGGGACGCCGGCGGCCGCUGCGGCUGAGCGCCAUGAAGUGCAGACGGCUGCGGCAGCGAGAGCUUCGGGGAGCUCAAGGAGUUGCAAGAUGAGGCCAAGGAGAUCGCCUGGGAGAUCCGUCCAGCUGCCGCUACUUGCACAAUGAUCUGCCAUAGUAAAACAGAGUUGGUUUUUCUUCUGUCGUAUAUAUGCUUUUGCAGAAUAUUAGUAAGCGAACAGACUAUGUAGAGUAUUAUUGACGAAACGCAGCGUACGACUCGGACAAGGAGUCCAUCAGGAUUCACAACUCGGAGAAAGAACGCGAGUGUGCCUUAAGAAAUCUAGGACCCUCUUAUCUCGCGAGCGUUCGCUCGGAGGGGAUGCCAUUUGCAAACGUUUAGAUGGCGGUUUUAGUUGUGUGGGGGUUGGCAAUUUAUUCAGAACAACAUACUAGUUUCUGGGUAGAAGGAAAUUUUGAGAAAACAAGCAAAAAUUGGUAUCGUUUGAUCUUGCGUCGCAACUACAAUUGCAAGCAAACAUUGUUCAUUUGACAUCCCCUUCCUAGGGAACGUCAACCAGAUAGUGUUACCGAAAAUCUAUUCGGAACAUAUUAGACAAGCUCCCCUGCAUGAAUUGAAAUCACAACCAAACGAGAACCAAUGAAGAUUCAAUUGGUUCAACAACUUAAAAAUGAGUUAAAUUUGGUACAUCUUUAUUCAAUCAUCAGUUGCAUUCGAACAACACUUGAGGGGGGGGGGGGCGAGGGGCAAGUUUUAUGAACCUUGGUCAAAAGAGAAAAUGUGGGCAACAUUAUUCAUUGUUCGACGCAACUAUUUAAAUCUAAAAUCAACUUAGAAUCGGGGAGUCAUUUAACUUUCUUGACUAAUUGUCCAGAUACAGGAAGUGUUGACCCGGAGGUCUCAUAUUCUAUUGAUCGAUCAAGAGAGAUUGGUUGUUGGCUAAGAAUAGACUAGGUUUGUUAAAGACCACUAACUAGAGCCAGCCGACUCGCUUUCUCCACCGGCGCAACGAGGAAUGACUUGCUCUCAAGUCAAAAAAGGUGUCCAUGUCUAGAAGGAUCCGCCCCAUCUCUAGUUCUUCUCUCUUUUCCGGAUUGAUGAAGGUGGAUAAGUCCCAUUCCUUUUUAAUGAGCUUGCUAAAAAGAGUAAAUUCCGGUUUUUACCCCCUAUUUUGACAUUUUUGACACUAAUUACCCCAUUUAGCAGGAUUUCAUCCAUUUUACCCUAUUUAGUAGAAAUGUUGCCAUAAUUUACCCUGUUUAAUUUUUUGUGAGCAUUCUAACCGGCAGGUCCAAUUGUGUUGUGCCUAUUUACCCUGUCUAUUUUUUGGAGUUGAUGGUAUUCUCCCAUUAUUUAUAAAAUAGAUCCUUCUCUAUUAUUUGCAACAGAUCAUGGAAAUAAAAUGCAAAAAAUUUGUGUUAUGGCAACUAUUUCUGCCUAUUUGUUCCCUGGGUCAUGAUGUCAAUUCGUCUCCUUAUUCAAGGAUCAUGCUGUCAAAUUAUCUCUCUUUUGCCAAACAGAUCGUAUUUCUGCUUCACACUACUGUCAAAACUGAUUAAUAUAGGCUAUAGACUGCUCUGGAUUCACAUGUUCGAAACAUGAUUGAAUAAUGCUUCCCAUUUAUAGAUAGCUUCACUAGUUCACAACUACACAAACUACAGAAUACACCAAACAGUGGCAGUGGCAAUGACAGGCUACACAAGCAGCGGCACGAACACCUUGUCAGUCUUCACCUUUCUUAGCUCCUACACAUUGCAGAAGGGUGACAUGUAUACACAUGAUCUUCAAUAAGCAUCUUAAUUCUGUCCUAAUGAAACGCCUCGCCGGCUAAUGCAUGAGUCAGGAAAAUAUCAGACUACACAAAUUGCUAUGAUAGAUAUGGUCAAAAUCUUGUGGAAUGGGGUACGACUGAGAGGGGUUGUUUGUUCACCAACCUCACUAAUUUGUUGGACCAGCCAUCGCCAUAGCCCCGCCAUCAACUGAGCACAUCCUCAUGGGGUCCCUGGUAUGUCGCCAAAGUAGUAAGAUGAACUGGUCACAGCCUAAUGGGAUCAUGUACAUGGACGCGCCUAUGCCAACGUCGGCGAGCUUGACGGAGCCAUCGGAUUCCACAGGGUCAUUUCUUGCUUGGAUGCCGUGGCCAUACAACCCUGCUCGAGGAGGUAUGAAAUCGCAUGGCCGGCUGCUCAACACUCAUUGCCGCCACCGCCGUCAUCAUCACCGCUGCCUGACAAUCCCCAACCCAAGGUUCGAGCGAGCCUAGCAUGUGUGUGGGUUGGAAACCUAGACGGGCGAUGCAAUCGAUAGGGGACAGGCAACACAAGCAAGAACCGACUGGAGGCAAGCGUGGCCCACGGCCGACUCGGGCGUUGUGCGUUGGAUGCAACGCGAGCGACCUCCAUCAGGCUGGUCCUGUUCCCGGUCAAGGAGAAGCUGGGAGGACCGGUCCAGCAGGAAGAAAAUAGGCAGGAAAAAACGGUCGAUGUGGGAUGCCAAGUGGACCUGACAAUUGGGACAUGUCGGUCAGAACGCUCACAAAAUUUUAAACAGGGUAAAUUGUGGCAGAACUUUUGUUAAAUUGGAUAAAAUGGAUGAAAUAUGGCUAAAUGAGGUAAUUAGUGUCAAAAAUAUCAAAAUAGGGGGUAAAAACUGGAAUUUACUCUGCUAAAAACCAUGGCACUGUCUAUGCAUUUUUGUGGACAGGUUUGUGAUGUUCGGGAAAAACCAACAUGUCCCAACCUAGAACCUGACGUAAUGACCUUGUGGGACCGUCCUGCCUACACCACAUCCUCCCGUCGUCGAGUGGCCAAAUUUACUGUUUUGACCCUUUUAUGAAAGUUUAGCCGGAUCUCACCCUUGUUCAAAAAUAUUUCGGGAUUUGACCAUUUUUCUUACCGCCACAGUCCUCGGUGGGAGGGUAUAAUAUGCUACCGCCACGGUCUGUCACGGUAGGGUUUAACUGUGAAAAAUACCCUACCGCCAAGGUUUAUUGCGGUAGGCAUUUAUAACCUACCGCCAGUGCCCUUGGCGGUGGGGCAGGUCAUUGUUCCCAAACGAAAGUUGCAUGUGCAUGCGCCCACCCGGUUAAAGCUGCUGCUGCUACAUGCACGCCUACCCAGCUUAAGCUGCUGCUGCUAGUACUCCUUGUGCAUACAUGGCAAUGGGAGAGAGAGUGAUUGAUUGAUUGGAUCCAAUAAACAAACAUCCAAUGACGUGUGCCUCUGGUUCCCAUCUAUGUUCACCGAGAAUGCAUGCAUCGAUGCAUGUUUCUGGGAGGUAGUGACAAUACUAAAAGAGGAAUAUAAGGCUGUACCGCUGCACCUUGCGGGAAUGAUGCGUGCAUGCAUGUUGCACAGCUACUGCCAUGCUCUUUGGCGGUAGGUUUGUAUAGCCUACCACCAUUGACGCUGGUGGUAGCCACUUAACCACGUCAGUUGUCCGUGACGGCGUUGGUAUGUUGACCAGGUUUCUACCGUCAGGAUCAAUGGCGGUAGGCUGUUCUACCCUACCGCCAAAGAUUAUGGCGGUAGGAAAAGGGUCAGAUCCUAAAAUACUUUUGAACAAGGGUCAGAUCCGGCUAAACUUUAACAAAAGGGUCAAAACACGAAAAUUGGCCUCCUCGAGUAGGCACCAUCUAUGUUGGCUUUGACCCAACCCCGAGGAAGCCAACCACCCUUUGUUGGGACCUGCUAACAAAUGCAUAUCAAAGAUUUUAAACCCCUACAUACAAUGUGCACAUUAUAUCCAUACACGCAACUAGGGACGAAGCUAGAAAAAAUGUUUGAUGGAGUCGUGUCUAUGACAGUGGGGUCAUCUUCUGCAAAUAGAUAGUGAUUAGUACUAAGUUAGUGAAGGAUUUCUUAAUUUCAUUGGGGUCAAUUGACCCCAAUGCUUACAAGGGAGCUACGUCCCUACACGCAACAUGCAUCUGUGUAUAAUGACGGACCCAUCCCACUGACCCAGGGUGGGCCAGAGGUGCAUACACUCUAAAGAUUUAUUUUAUUUUUUUAUUCUAUCUAUUUUGCUAUGGUAUAAAGGUUGAUUCUUAAAUCUUGGCCACCCUAUAGCUUUGCCACUGUCUAUGUACCACGUGGAACAUGUGGUUUGCAAUCCAAACAUAACUCUACGAUAGAAACUAUAACUUAUAUAUACAACAACUUUGAUACAAGUAAAGUUUAACAACUUAAUACAAACAAAAAAGACUAGGGAAGUGUUCUGGUACUAAAAGGUACCCAUAGGAAAUCCUCAAGUUAGUGAUAUUAUGAGAGAUCAAAACAUUUUAUGGGUUUGCUAUGAGGAGAUAAAUGAGGAGGAAAUUUGCAAGAUCCCAGUCGCUAGAUCCACAACCAAAGAAUACAUAAGUUAAACCAUAGAGAAAAGAUUUAAUUGGUUAUCUUUUUUAGGACUAUUUAAUUGGUUAUCUUUGAUAGAACCCUACGAGAAGGUGAAAAGGCCUCUGUGAGGUUGGGGAUCCUGUUUCUUAGUUUGUUAUAAAUGUUGAUAUGUCUUAUGAAGAGCAAGGGAGAGUUUCACACUUGGUGAUCCCCCGCCUUUCAAAGAGAUAAAGGAAGAAAAGAGCCCCCAUUGUGGAGGAAGUGGGGAAGACAAGACUUUAAUGUCUUUCGGAAUCUAUCAUGUCUAACUCAGAGGCAUAAAAGACGGUGCUUUUUGGGAGGCAGCCCACAUUUAUUGUUUGGUUUGAAUAGUGUAAGACAUUUUAACUACUGUAGCAAAGUUGUUUUCUUUUUUUCUUUCAAUAAAGUGCCAAGUUAUGCAUUUAGUUUGAAUGUUUAGACUUAGUGGUAGUUGAUGUUAUGUUUUCUGUUGUUUGUUGUACUUCCAGAUAAGGGUAUAAUUCAUUGGAACGUGCUUUUGACUAUUUUUUACUGAACAGGUCCACGUAUGUCUAAUAUUUAUCCUAAUUUUGGGGGAAUUUUUUGAGUUUUGUAAGUGCUAUAAAAAAUUACCUUCUUACCUGCUGGUCUGUUUUGACAAAUUCUUGUGCGGUUGUUGUAUUUGCUAUAGGCUUACAUAGUUUUCACUUCUCCUUGAUCAAAAGAGCCUAUGAUUGUGUCUUUUACUAUAACUGAUGUUAUUCCAUGUUUUCAUUGUUUAUAUAAAGCAAGUACAACUAUUUUGUAAUUAUUUAUGGACUAAUCCGGACUCUUGGUUCCUUCUGAACUAUACUUCUAUAUGAGAUUAACUUCCUAAGGGAUGCCAUCACAAUUACACAAGCACCAGGAGGGUUUGAGGUUCAAGUUUGGGGAUUCCCAAGGCAACCCCACUUUAAUUCUAAGAAGACCCAAAAGGCAAAGCUUGGGGGUUCCCAAGGCUCCAUGUUAUUGAUCAACAACCAAUGUAUGAUCCCCGUUGAACCACUAUUUUUUAGUAUUGCUUUGUCUGUAUUUUCUUGGACCAAUCUUUUUUUUGAAUAAAUNNNNNNNNNNNNNNNNNNNNNNNNNNNNNNNNNNNNNNNNNNNNNNNNNNNNNNNNNNNNNNNNNNNNNNNNNNNNNNNNNNNNNNNNNNNNNNNNNNNNNNNNNNNNNNNNNNNNNNNNNNNNNNNNNNNNNNNNNNNNNNNNNNNNNNNNNNNNNNNNNNNNNNNNNNNNNNNNNNNNNNNNNNNNNNNNNNNNNNNNNNNNNNNNNNNNNNNNNNNNNNNNNNNNNNNNNNNNNNNNNNNNNNNNNNNNNNNNNNNNNNNNNNNNNNNNNNNNNNNNNNNNNNNNNNNNNNNNNNNNNNNNNNNNAGAGAGAGAAAGAGAGAGAUCUUGGCUUUGUUAUUUACUCUUUGUGUUUCACUUAAAUUUGUUAGAGUAAUAUAUGUGAUGUGUUGUGGUUAUAACUUCUAUGUGCUUCACUAACAUUUUGUUAGAAAGUUUUAGGAUUUUGCUGGUACAUGUUUUUAUAAUAUAUCUUGAGCUUAUUGUCUUGGGUUUAGUAUUGGACUUUUAAGUCUUGCAGAAUUGGGAUGGUAAUUAACAUGAUAAGAACACCCAAGUAGAGUGUGCUUCAAUAGUUAUGGAUUUUUGGUUUUGGUUUUAAGACUUUCUUAUCACUGUGGAUUUGUAUCUAAGGUAGCUAUUGCUAUUUGGAGAUAGGAUAAUGUGCUCAGUGUUUAAAAAAACCUUGUGUUGCUUUCACAUAAUAAUAAAAAUUGGGGACUCUAAUGAGAAGUUGAAAAUGCAAAGUCUUGUUUGCAUGCAACCAUCAUAGACUAGCGACUUUGAUGUGGGCGGGGUCGAUCAAUGAUCUUAACCUACCACAAUCCUCCCCCAUGGGAUACUUUACUUGUUGUACUAUGCUCUAGUAAGGCCAUGAGGCACGUAUUGGGUUGAUUAGGCAUUUAUGAUUAAUGCAAUCUUUUGAGUACUGUGCUUCCACCCAAACAACCUUAUUUGCUAACCUCCUCGGUAUCAAGGAUUGCCCACUAUCACACUGAGACAUGGUGCAUUGUUUGUUGGUACAUCCAACCAUGUGGGAGGAUUUCCUCUUGUCCUCGUACACAUAAACCCAACAUCUUCUCUAAACAACCACCAUACCUACCUACAUAUGGCAUUUACAUAGCCAUUCCGAGUAAAUUGACAUGCACUACCAUCAUUCGUGUUACAUGACUAGAUAUAUGUUGUCAUUUUCGUAUGCCUUGCAUGAGGCCAUUUGCUCAUUAUAUACAUGCCACACUAGAUCAUUGCCCAUUCUGGUAUAUUGCUAGAGGCGUCAUUUAGAGAGUUCUUUUCAUGUACAUAGCAAGAGCUACGAUUGCAUUUUUAUGAAGUUAAGAAAAGUGUAUUGAUCAUCAUUGUAAGGUGUUGCUUAUAACUUGAGAGAGAAAAGAUGUCCCAAGGAGGCGCAAAAAAUGAGAGAGAGAGAGAGAGAAGGAGCAACACCAUUAUCUUUUUAGAGUACACGUGUGAAAUCCUUCAAAGUAGCACUACGUGUUCAAAAUAGAAAAUAUAAAGUGCUUCGAAGUAGCACCAAGCAUAGGAAGCAAAAUAAGUGCUUCAAAAUAGCACAGCUUGAUGCAUGUCAUAGUUGAGAGUUCACGAGUUUUGUCAUAUGUACUAGUGGGGACUUAACAUUAUAGAGUUUGGUUUGUAUAUUUCAAUGGUGAGACUCCUUAAAUGAGUUUCAGGUCUUUGUGAGCAAACAAGUUGGAUGCACCACAUUAGUCCAUAGAAGAGCUUUCAUUCAUAUAUAGCUCUAUGUGCAUCCUAGUUGCAUGGCAAUCCCUACUCCUUACACAAUAUCGAUCAUAAGUUCUCCAUAUUAUAUAUAUCCUAAUGGUCAGCUACAUUGUUGCAAUACUUUCUUGUUUUUAACUUCUUAAAACCCCCCAAAAUUGUGUUCUCAUUGCCAUUGAUUAGGCUACUGACUCAUACUUGCACUCAAAUUCUGAGUUUGUGAAGAUUGUGAAAUAAAACAAACAUGCAACAAGUGGUUAUAUUCGGUGUGUUUGGUCAGAACUGUCAAAUAAGCAAAUACAGAGCAAAAUACAUGACCCGGUCUAUAGGUGGAAAAUGGGGGGUGGUGCACCUCCUGAUGUCACAUUCUGUGAUAAUGGUGCAGGAAUGGGGCCUCUCAUGCUGAGCAAGUCAAACGCAAAAAUGCAAUAAAUGUUCUUUGUGGUCGAUGGCAGUUGGAGUUUAAAAUCCGGCACAUACGCUUUGUUUUUCAUGUGGCCUUGCAUGUGUAGGUGGUUCGACGAAGUGCAGGUGAUUUGAAAAACUUUGCAAAUUAAAUAGAUUGUGUAUUGUAAAAAAAGGUUUAAAAACAUGAUUGGGUGGUUAACAUGAGAAACUAUAAUCCGGGAGGUAUUGAGGUCGCAAACAAAAAACUAAACAUGCACAAUUUAGUUCCAGGCUUUCACCCACUGAAUUUUUCCCAAUCAAGUCACACUUCUCAAGUGUGUGUUUUUUGGACUCCUACCUUUUCUUCCACGCUAGAGAAAGAAUCUUAACAUGAAACGAAGAGGGUAAUGAUUAAGAGCAAGAAGAGUAAUGGAGUAAGAUGAAGAGGUGGAGUCAAUUGGUUCAUGCAAUGCAUGGGGAAGGGCACCGAGGGAUUGUCUUUAUGGACACAUAGGCCCACUUAUCAUGUGUGUGUGAAGACAUGUGUAGGUGACUCACUCCCACGCAAAUUAAGAAUACAUACUUUUCUCUAGCAAUACGCAAGAAGCAUGUUGAAUCAUGAAGUCAGGACAACUAUGAGGGCAGGGCGUUGACCUGUUGGCUGGGCAACCGGGGUAGUUGUCAGCCCGCCCGGGUUCGAGCCUCGGCUCUAACCUGCGGCGCUCGCGGAGUUUCUCCUAUAAAAAAUGCAAAUGAGGGUUAGCCUUUGAGUUGGUCUCAUUUCUUUUUAAGCCAGGACAACUAUCUAUAGCUGAAAAUCCUCGUGUUACUCGUUCAAAUCUGGUUCCUGGCAAAGGAAAAAAAGGAUCCAUCAAAUAGGUAUUGAUUCAAGUAUCUCAAGAUGGAUUGUGAUACAUAAUCAUUAAUAAUAUGGAUAGAGUAUGAUUUAUUCAUCCAAUUUGUACAAUAAUCCCUUUAUAGAAAAGGGUCCCGUUAUCCCGAGCCAGUCUUACCUUUGCUUGCAAGCCCCAAGUUUGUCUAUAAAGAGCUAAUCUAAUUGGAUUUCCCCCCAAUGGAUUUGUAUGCAGCUGCUGCCCUGAGCAGCCAAGCAUUUCCCCCUAGUUGAGCUCAUGUGUGGAUUUCUAUGCAGCUGCUGCCCUGAGCAGCCAGGCAUUUUCCCUAGUUGAGCUCAUGUGUAUAUGCAAGACUUGGGAACCCAAACCUUGCUACAUCAAGUGGUUCAUCAUCAAGUUUCCUCGGUGCAAGGUCAACCAUGUUGCUUAAUAAAUGAAGUUUAUCGGUGCCAACUUCUUUUUAGGGAAAAGGCAGCCAGGUCACCAGAGCUAACUGGUAAGCCCAAGGCACAACACGAAGUGUCGAAACAUGUGAGACUGGAAACUAAUACUCCCUCCAUCCGGAAAUACUUGUCAUUAAAAUGGAUAAAAGAGGAUGUAUCUAGACGUAUUUUAGUUCGAGAUAUAUCACUUUUUAUCCAUUUUAAUGACAAGUAUUUUGGGACGGAGGGAGUACUCAAUAAAUAUGAAUGUGUGCUUAUAUCUACUAAUCGUAGACACACAAUUUAUAUGUGAAAACGCAUCACAAGUUUUCCAACUAAAAUCAUAACUACAAUGACACAAGUCGAAAGCUCCAAACUUAAAAUAGAUACAUCUACACUAAUUUGUAAAGUUCCAGCCAUAUAAUAACCAAUUGCCUCUUGCCAUUGGGGCUUUAUACCUCUGCUGUAAAUACGAAACUGGAUGAUGAGCCCAUUUUUAUAUCUGUAGGUUGGGUAACUCAAUCGUCAGAGAAUGAGCAGUAGGACUGAACUACCGACAGUUGGCCUUUUGGCCAGUUUACCAAGCACCCCCAGUUAGCAUAAUUCCACAGCUGUAAGCUACUCAUCAGUCAUUACAAGCAUCACAAAUACAAUAAUUACUCCGCAAGUUUUGCCCAAGAAAAGAAGGUACACAAAAGAAACUGAAUUUAUGUACAGAAGAAUUUCUGAUGAUUCACGAGAACCCUGCGCUUGCAAUAAGUGAACAAAAUAUAAUGGCUUCCGAGUAAACAAAAAUAGGAUUAUACCGAACCACACUUGCUAUGAAUUUCAAAAUCUAUAACUCGCCUACUACUCCCCAAUAGGGGGACUUCCCAAAGAACUUAUGUACUAUGAGCAGAAGCUAUCGCUGUGACAGAAAUGGUGCUAACAAGGAUUCUCAUUCAUCUUUACAAGCCACCGGCCUUAUUAGCAGCAGUUUUGCUAGGCUUUGUUUUGGCAAUGCUGACCAGAUCACCAAAGAGUGAAUCUUCGGGUCUUGCUGGCCUAUUAGCCUGCUGAAGGGAAGAAGACGCGGGUGUGCCAUACAAGCCGUUGUUUUGCAUGGCAAGUCCGUUCAUUCUCUGAGAAAGCUCGUUUGCACUGGGAUACCCAUAUGCAGCAUUUGGGACAUAGUAGCCUCCAGGCUGCUGACCAUAGCCAUAGCCGGCCGCCAUCUGCCCACCAUACAUCUGUUGCUGGUAGAUAUCUCCUGCCAUCUGUUGGGGAUACAUGCCGCCUGCUUGGUUGCCUUGCAUUGAAGGAUACAUGCCCCCAUAUUGCGUGUUUGGCAUUGAUUGCGGAUGUUGAGCCCCAGGCUGCUCCACAUAUCCCGGUGGAAACUGCAUCCCGCCUGGUUGUCCAGUCAGCAAUGGUUGCGACAGUGAAACUUGCCCAGGCUGACCAACUUGAACAGGUUGGGGUGGAAUGCCUCCGAAUUGUCCUGGUGGCAUUGCCAACCUGUCAGGUUGACCAGCUUGGAACUGAUCGUUUUCUGCAGGCUGAGUUUCCCAGGGUGGUGGUGGGAGGUCGCUGCUUUGAUCAUCUUGACCUGUCAAUCACAAAGUACCUACAGCUGAGGACAGCCUUGUACAUGCCGUAAACAGAGGCAAAGCUACAGAAAUAUUUGGCGGACAAACAAAAACAAGAGUCCACACUACUCUCUCGAAAAACUUGUAGUACAUAAAUAGCAUUUACAAAACAAAUAUUGUAAGAACUACUCCCUCUGUAUCAAAAUAUAAGACGUUUUUUGACACUGUCAUAGUGUCAACGUCUUAUAUUUUGAUACGGAGGGAGUAGAUACCAAACAUAGAUACUACUCCCUCCAUCCCAUAAUAUAAGAUGUUAUUACAACCGAUAUACUCACAUACUAGUUGUAAUAACAUAUUAUAUUGUGGGACGGAGGGAGUACUAAAUAACAUAUUAGAAGGUCAUAUUGUAACCAUAGAAGAUAGUGUUAUGUACCAUAAUUUGGUGCCUGAUGUGGUUGAUUCAUUCCUUGAGCAAGCUGCCCAUUCCACGAACUUGCUGAGUUUAGGUCAGAACCUUGACCAUAAGUUGGGAUUGUAUUGGAGGCCAACCCAUUGGAAAAUGAAGACUGCUGUGGUGGAACAGGAUGCUGUGGAGCAAGAUAUGCUUGUGGUGCCGAGAGAUUAGGAUUUGAGUUCAAUAUUGGGGAUGAUAUAACAGGGUUGUGACUGUUAUUGCUAGCAUCGCUUUGCGAAAACAUGUCUACAAGAUCUAAGGUAUUGUGGCCUGAAGCAGAAGCUGCAGGGGAAUUGCCAACAGGAACAAGGGCUUGAGAAUUCACAGGUUCUGGCUUGAAAUAAUCAUCUCCACUGAGUAGGUCAAUACUAGGACCAACAGAUGCUUCUCCAGGAGGCUUUGAGGUGCUGGAUGAUGGAGGGGCAGGAAGUGCUAAUUGCUCAAAUGGAGAAACCUUACCGGCAGCUUCAGAAGACCUGACAGGUUCAGACGGUAUAUAAUCAAGAAGUCAGUCAGAGCAUAAUGCAGUACUCUACUAUUUUAAUCAUUCCAAUACUGUUUCAAGAGUUCUGAACCCGCAUUAUGCAUGCAUCAUUUCAGGAGAGUAGCAUAAAUUGAUUAAAACAGGAUGCUUGGUAUAAGAUAACACAACCUUUGAGUUGGCUCUUUUGGCCCCUCUGGCUUUGCUGGUGGGGAACUAUUCGCAGGGGCCUGUGGUAGUUUUGGCUUUUCUACCCGAACAGCUAUGCCUGCAGCAAUCGCAUCAUGUUUUGCUAGAACACGCUGCAAAUCAUCAUUCAAUGAAAGGCCCUGGCUUAGCAGCUCUUCAUCGCUGUGACAAUUUAAUGCAUGGAAAUAGUAAGAGAACCAUAUCAUAAUAAGUACUCAUACGAACACAACACACUCUACAGAAAUUCAAUCAGUAAUACAAAGCUACAUUGUGAAAUCUAGUUACGGAAAAAGCAACCAGCAAACAUGAGUUCAGUCGCCCAAUUUUCAGCAAAUAAUACAGUCAUGUACAUAAAUGGGCGUAUCUCAAACAUAACACAGUAAUACAGUAUCAGAUAUAAAUUUUGGACUAGAACAUAGCUGAAGUAUGCAUAUAGUAUCCCCAAAAAAAAGAUGUCUAUAGUAGUAAUGAUUACCUACAGGGCUGAACUAGCUAAUAUAUUUUCUUUCCGUUGUGUAUUUCUGUUUAAUUAGACAAAUAGUGGAUUGGUGGUACUACCACCACAAUUUCUAUAUAUAUUUCUGAUCUGAACACACCAAUAAGAAGUUGCCAAUUAUUCCUGAGAAGUUGCCAGUUAUUUUUGUAAAGUCACAUGCCUAAAAUGUAGAGAUUAGGGUGAAGUACCAUGACACAAACUAGUAUAUUCAGGAAUUAAUUAGAAUAAAGAGCAGUUUUAGGGGUACUUAGGGAGUGAAUGCAAGCUUAUUUAAAUUAUUGCAUCAAAACUGGCAAUAUAUUGAGCACUGUGUGUUAGUAGUAGCGGUAGGUUCAUGUUUUGGUGUUGUAUGCAUAUAGCAGAGAAGAGUAUCAGAGCUCACUGUGCCAGCGGCACUUGAUCCAACCAAGGAGGCAUGUGUCUCGCCGCCACCGUACAAGUUAGGACCAAGAGGGUCCAAUAGGAAAGCGGUGAAUCCAGUUGAAUGCAGCAACUUUGUCAACCAAACUCCAGCUUGGUCAGCAGUGAUUUGUCUGCUGACGCCAGCUGCACAUGGAUCAGCAGCUGGCAAGAGUUCCUGGGGAAGUGAGCUUGCAGUGGUCAGUGUGGCGAGAGUGAUGAGCCACAGUACAAGGAGGGAUAGGAUUCCAGAUAUGGCUCUGAGAAUGAUAUAGCCAGCUAUGUGUCAUAUGAAUCACUGUCACCAGAAUACAAAGCCUUCAUCGCUUUACCAAAUCUACAGUAGUCCCAACUGAUUGGAGAAUAGCAAAGCAGAUCCCUAGUUGUAUCAGGCUAUGUUGGAAGAGUUGACAGCCCUUGAGAAGAAGAAUAUGUGGGGCUUGAUAUAUACUUUCUCAUCAAAGAGCUGAUUUAUGAGGGAACAGCCUUGAAAUCCCAUCUUGAGGGGUGGUGGUGUUGUAUAUUGAGCUGCAUAUGUUAGUAGUAGUCGGCCAAAGGUCCUUGUAUAUGGUGUUCUAUGUAGCAAAGAAGAAUAGAGUGAACUCGAGAGAUUCCAGAAAUUUUGUCAAGAAACUAUAAAGGUGUAUAAUUGGAUAGCAUUUAGCAUAGAUAUUCACAGCAUUGUGUGUCCUUCUUUCCCUCAGUUUUAUCAAGAGGACAUCAGAAUGAAUUUGGUAGCAAAGGCAGUUAGUGGGUUAUCAAAACUAUUAAUUAGGUCGGAAAAAUGCAUAUCCUACAUUUCCACAACCCGAUUCCAUGUAGUUCACUGCUUAAACAGCCGGACACCACAGAAGAAACUUACGAGGUCGUGUUGACGAGCUGAACCACUCUCUGCUUGUAAGAACGACAUUGGUCCACAAGGUCCACAAUGACUUCCUGCCUUAGACCCUGCAUGUUCAUUACAGAUUUACAAUUAAGCAAUAUACUGACCUGACAUCUAAAUCAUAUAACUAGAAAUACUAUGGUUUAUAUAGUCCGGUGUUAAGAACUUUUAGACUCUGAAACAUGGCAGUAUACAUAUCCAACUUUAAGUAAGAAAAUUCAACACAGCCAUGUAGGAUGGUGUUAUUUUUUCCUGCAUUAACUUUCCGCAACAAAACUGGUCAUUGGAUCAUUUUAUGAACCACAUAUUGUUACAGCAUGUGAGUAGGCAAUGGGCAGUGAAAUACCUCUCUGUUACCAGGAUCAAUAGCAUUUAACAUCUCUGAGAGAACAUCCAUGACGCCACUUGCAUUCUGAAUUUCUGUCACACUGGAGAAAAAGUUUUGCAAAUUUGAAACAUUCUUAUAAAAGGGAACUCGAAGACUUCAAAGUAGUACACUGCUAACCACAGUGCUGAUGACACUGUGGUUACAGAAUUGGAAAGGAAACUAAAAGCAAUUACAGGUCAAAUAACAGAUAUAACUAGAAAAUUACUGUACAGUAAAAGGCACGCAUUCAAGCUCUGGAAAGAGGAAGCAUUUCAGUAUUUAAGGUCUCAUAUAUUUGUGCAUCACCUCAAAUUAAUACAUAAUAUCUUAGGGUUCUGGUUAGGUUAUGCCGUAACACUUCUCUAUAAAAUGAUCCUAACGGAAAUAAUAAUGUACACAUACUGUCAUCAUAUCAAUUACAUAAAUUUUGGAGGCAAAUUGCAUAGUAUAUUAAUGAGCAAAAGGAUUAGCAGUAUGUCAGCAAUCAAUACUGUCAUCAUUCAAAUGCGCACAAGAUAAUGGACAUAGUUCACAUUAGUUCUGAGCAUCAUUUAUCCGUGCCUGCAUGGUCACUAAGUUCGUGAAGAUAAUGUACCUUAGUGUAGAUACUUCUGGCACUGAAGAUGAUUCAGGUGCCUCUUGCCGAUAGUCAGUAUUACGUAAAGCAGGAGGAGGGUAGUUCUGUAGAGGUUGAGUUUGUGGUGGAGUAUAGAUUGGCACAGAACUCUCUGACCUUUGAGGAAAUACGGCUCCAGCACGCUGGUAUAUCAGAGAGCGACACUAUGAUAAGUUGAAGGAAGCUUCAUAUAUCAAAGAGAAAAUGUAUGAUGUACACUAGAGCACAGAUGUUUUCAUGUUACUGAUGAAUGUUGGCUUAAGAAAUGCUCAAAAAAUAUUGUACAACUGAUUUAAUCUGAUCUAGUAAAGGAAGAUGAACCAAAUGUCAGCAUACUUAAAGUGAAUAAUACCAGCAGUUCUUGAUAUGCAGCAUAAUAUUGUGGGUAUCUUGCACGAGCACCACCAAAAGCUUCUUGCCAGGUGUCAAUCAAAAUGAGUAUCUUCUCUUUUACAUGAUAAUCAGGCUACAAAACAAAAGGGAAAUCAAAACUGAAAUCUUAUUCUUAAUAUUAUAUUGUGAGACAGAAUACUAAUUUGCAGGCAGACCUUUUUCUUAACAAUCUUCACCAUUUCAUGGAGUAUAUCUCUCUCAGCAACAUGCAUGUGAACAAAAUCUCCACAAUUUUUAAUCAGCGUCUCCAGCAGCUAAAAAGGGGAAAUAAAAUGAAGUACUUCAGUACAGGCUUGCUUAGCUUACUUGGGAUUAGAUUACAGAACAAAUAAACCACAAGUAUGACUUUCCAACUAGCACUAUGCACAGAUACAGAGAUACAAGAUACUGCUCAGCAUAGGUUAAGGAAACUAACAAGUGACAAGGCUACGUUACAUAGCCCAUUAUGUUCUCCCUCAUAAAUUCUUCUGAAUCUGUCACCUAGAUCACUCCUAAUAUCCGCAAUCCAAACAAACUUGUAUUCACCAUCACACCCAUCUUUAAGAUGCUAUUCAAGCAUGAAUCAUUUGACAUACAAUGAUGUUGAAGUGCUGACUGGAGCCUCUUCAAUGUCUUUUUGGCUCUGGCUAACUGUCAAUCAUUGAUCAUUACAUGAGAUUCUCCGCUUCACAUUAUUAUGGCUACCAUCAACUUCCGAACAAGCAAUCAGUAGCUCAUCACGCUAGCUUCAUCCUAGUUUAGCUUCUAGCCAACUUAUCAUUCCGAAAUCAUCACCAAACCAUAAGAUGACGCACCCAAUAUGGAGUCAUUAAUCAAUUCAUAUGUAAGUAAUACUGAAAGAUGUACAGAACUUUGCAUUAUCAUGGAGAUAAAGAUACGAGUGCACAAAAUGAUACUUACUGUUAGUGCGAGGAGCUGGAUCUUUGAGUUCUUGUGUCCAAUCCGUUUCUUGAUAGACUUGACUACAUCUUUAGCUUGCCUAUGUGCACAUAAAGUAUGAGAGAAUAUACUAGUAGUGAAAAUGUUAAAUACGGCAUACCAUGCAACAAUAUAGCAAAUAACUGGCACACGAGCUAAAAUAACAUUUGGUCCGAGACUGUCUAAUACUCCCUCCGUCCCAAAAUAAGUGUCUCAACUUUAGUACAACUUAUAAGCCUCAGACCAAAAUCCUCGUGAUUUCUUCAAAGCCCCUAUGCAGGGGCGGAGCUCUGUAGGGGCAGACCCGGGCCAUGGCCCACCCAGGAAUUUGACAACAAUUUUUUUUACUAGUCAUCUUAGGCCAGCCCACUGAGCGCACACACGCAUAGCCGCACAGGCCAACCUCCAUCUUCUCCUCGUCUCAGGAGGGCUACUCACGCACGCUGCACGCGCAAGCGGCUUUCCCCAUUUCCCCAAUCUCACUAUCAAACUCAUCUAGCCGCGCCGCCGAUGCCGACCGCCGCCGACAGGGAGCACGGUCCAUCGGAGCACGCCGCCCGCCGUCUCGCGGAGCAACUGCCGCGGCGAUGCCCCCCCCCCCUCCCCCGCGGGACCUCGCCUCGCCCCUGCCAUGCUACCUCCCGCCCAGACUGAUCUUGCCGCCCAUCAUCCGCUGCCUCCGGGAUCCAGUGCGUCGUGCAUGCUUCCGGCCAUCCAUUCCCGCGGUUGUUCUCCUCCAACUCCAAGUCUACAAGACUACAAGGCUGGCGCCCCCAUGACUUAACCCCCUGCCCUGCCGCACGCACAAUUCACAGGUAAUUUUUCCCCAAACACUCAAUUUGAUAAGCAAAUAGCCUGAAUUUAUUUAGUUCCAUACAACUAGUGAUCAGUCCUGCUAGUGAUAAAUAAUAGCUUGAUGAUCUGAUCUUAUGCAAAUUUCAACAUAGGUAGUCAUGGGAAGGAAAAUCAGACUCAGAGAAGAAUUGAUUUAGUUUUUAAAAGAAAAAGAGAUGACAUAACUCAAGUUGAGUAAGACCAUGAAUUGCCCUUGCUUGAAUUGGAACAACAACAGCCUGAACAACAACAUAACCAAGAUGGAGGAGUUCGAACAAAUGAAGUUGUUACUUUCCGAGGUAUCGAGUUCUUGCAGCGACACCCUGGAUUGCGCCCUCAAAUUUGGCAAUAUCCACCAGUUCAGAGAGAUACCGUGAGAAGAGCAUAUUUGAUGUUAGGUCCUAUGCAACCCCGCCUAGAGAACUAUAAACCUUCAGGUGAACCAGGGCAUCAACGCCGCUUCCAGUAUAGUUGGUUUGAUGAUUUUCCAUCAUGGCUAGAGUACUCAGUGGACAAGAGUUGUGCGUAUUGUCUAUAUUGCUUUGUCUCCAGUAACAAAGAGAAUACACGAGGUGGUUCUCAUGUCUUCAUGGUACAUGGAUUUGACAGUUGGAAGAGGGUUUGUGGGAAACAUUGUGCAUUCUUGACACAUAUAGGAUCUGGACACAUAUAGGAUUUGGAUCUGCUAGCUCAUUCUUGUAACAUGUCGCUAUGAUUCAUAAUUUGAAAGGAAAAUUGUGCUCUUCUUUUGUCUGGCCCGCCCAACUUUUUCUUUCAAGCUCCGCCACUGCCCCUAUGGCUUUGAAACAUCAAUACUACUCGUACCGGUGAUUAUCUAUUUUGAUGGAACAUGCACUUACUGCACAAGCUUCAUGAACAGCUCAACAGGUCAAGAUUAUUACAUUCAUUGUCUAUACGAAGUCAAAAAAAAACUAACAAGGAGUCCUCAAAAUUCGCUGGCACAAGCUCCACUAAAAUCCUGGUUAUCGAAUAUUUGUUUCUUCCACUCCAUGCAAGUUUUCUUAUCCUUUCCAGUACCAUUACUAGCUGCUACUGAACAGCUUGUUCAUAUUCACUUCUACAGGUCACAGGACAAUAUGUCAGCUAUAACAUUUGUAUAGUGAUUGGAAAGAGCUGACCAUGUCACAUUUUCCCAUCACAACCCCAAUCCUUGUCAUUCCUUGACUAGGCACGGUAUAUGCUAUCCUGUGGCAAGAAGAUGGGAGAUCUUUUGGCACCAGCAGGCGAGCCAGGAGUGCAGAUAACUCGGGUGUAUUGCAUCUCCAAACAAAAUUCACACUAAACUGGCAUCUCAACUGUAGAUUUAACUAACCUGGACAGGGCAUUGAUUCCUUAAUUUCAGUUUCUUUACUUAUCAGUGAAUAGUGAUUAGUGAAAAAAUUCGCAUUCACUCCAUGUCUACACUGUACCACGAAAAUAGAUUGAACCUCAGUUGAAUUUUGCAGGACAACAGGAUCGAUCAAUCAUUCCAGUCUGAGCCCUCGCCCCAUAUUUACCACAAGCGUCACCCCGACCUCCAUCCUACAAAAUCAUGGGGAGACUACCACAGAAUAGCAGCGGGACAGACCAGACCCCGUCCCAAUCAAGCACAGUACCUCUCGUCUCGACCACGAGCACCACUCCACGCCGACGAUGCCGUGAACGAUCAAAGCAGACAUGUGGAUAGCAAAGGGGAGGGCGAAGAAGGGCUCACGAGGGGUCGUGGUUGAGGAUGUCGCAGAUCUCGAGGUUGAGGGACCAGUCGGGCCCGAUGAGCGACUCGCUGGUCGCGCGAUCGACCAGGACGGACUGCGGCAUCGCGGCGGGGCGCCUGGUCGGCGUCGGUGGGGACGGGAGAGAGGAGCAGCGCAAACCCUAGUCGGCGAGCCUCGCUGUUUCCGUAUCUUCGCGUUUGCUUGGCCCCUCUAUGUCCGGUCGGUCGGACGACGAAAGGAAGAAAAAUUCUCUCUCUUUAAUUAAAAAAAAUCCCUAUUGGGAAUCGGAAUUUGAUUUUGAUCUGGUUCGGCCAGAUUUGCUCUAACUUUGGUAUAGAUUGUCUUGUUUCUUUUUAAAGCUAAACGCCCUCCGACUCUUUAUUCAUUAGGCGCCAGUAUGUCUGACUGCAAACAAUCAAUCAGCCACACAGGGAUUGUACAUACAAAUGCAUAAAAACAGAAAGUUUUAACGAGUGUCUAGCUAGAUGGUGUGCCGCCAUGUUAGUCUAGCGGCUUGCAAACCGUAGCUCAAAUCCCUGGAAUAAAGUAGACAGAUCCUUCAUCUCCGUGAUGAGGUGAAAACACGCCGACCUCUGAGGUAACUCCCAGAGCCGCUGAAUCUCUUGACAGUCCGUCUCCAACACCACUUGCUGAAAGCCCAUGUCAUGCGACAUUAGGAUCGUGUCUCUGCAUGCAAGUAGCUCAAUGGAUAACGGGUCAAUAACCCCGUCAUAUCUUGUACCUCCCGCUCUAACAAAAGCUCCAUGAUGAUCUCGAGCAAUGAAGCCCGCUCCUCCAUGAAUUAGACCCAUGUCCGUAGCACCAUUGGUAUUGAUCUUUAUCCAUCCCGCCUCCGGUGGCAACCACCUCGGGUGGGCAGUAGCUUGAGUUUUCUUCCUCUCAGGGAUCUCAAGCGCCCUGAUAAUCUCUUCAAUGAUCACCAUUGAUUUGAUCGGCUGGUACACCAACUCACCAUGAAUAUAGUUGUUCCUGGAGUGCCACCAGCCCACAUCACGGUAAUCAUAAUAGUCGUCACUUCCUUCUUGUAUAAUCGUUGAUCUAACAGAUCUCGAGACCAUGACAGUGGGUGUAAUCUUGGUAUGUCAAUACCAAAGAAACGUUAUGCUGCCUCCCAAAAACGUCUUGCAUGUUCACAUUCUAUCAGCGAGUGAAACAACGUUUCAUUGUCAUGUCCACACAUCGGGCAAUUAGGUAGCUACUUGAUGUGCCGCCUUUAAAGCUCACCAUAGGACGGUAAGAAAUUCUUCAGCGCUCGCCACCAAAACACCCGGAUCUUUGGGAGCACAUUGAUCUUCCACAAUGCCUUCCAUAUGGCCGAAUCACCAGAUGGUAAACCAACAGUUUUAGUCACCUGUAUUUUAGUUUGCAUCUCAUGCCUGUACGCCGACCUGACCGUGAAAAGGCCGGACUUUUCCCUUGCCCAUGCCCACACAUCUGCCCCUCCCACCCGCGGUCUUGCCAUGGCAAGAAUAGCUGUCGCAUCGGGGGCGUAGAAAAUACUCCGGACUAACUCCGUGUCCCAUUGAUUUGUAGUCGGGUCAAUCAGGUCCGACACUAACUGUACUGAGUUCUGCUCAAGAGCUCCCAUCGGUUUCAUUGAUAUGGUGCCAUCAAUCCAUUGAUCAUGCCACACCUUAGUGGUCUCUCCAUUACCAAUUCGCCGGAUGAGUCCCCUCUUCAACAUCUCUCUCCCUUUGAUAAUUGCUUUCCAUGUCUUGGAGGCACUAGCCGGACAGCCCGCCGUUAGAAAAUUCUCACUAGGAAAAUAUCGUGCUUUAAGCACACAUGCACACAAGCUAUUUGGAUUCUCAAGUAACCUCCAUGCUUGCUUUGCUAACAACGCAUCGUUGAAAGUUUCCAGGUCUCGGAAUUCCAUUCCUCCUUGUGACUUUGCAAUGCACAUCUUAUCCCAAGAUUGCCAAUGCAUUCCUUUUUUGUCAAGUGAUCCGGCCCACCAAUAUUGUGACAUAUUUGUCGUCAAUUUCUUGCACAAAACCUUUUGUGAGUUUGAAACAACUCAUAGAGUAGGCUGGUAGAGCUUGGACCACUAAAUUCAAAAGAACUUCUCUUGCUGGACAUGACAUUUUUCUUUUGCACCAUCCUUGCACCCUUGCCCUUGAUCGUUCAUUAAUAUGUUCAAAACUUUGCUCUAUAAUUUUUCCCGAUGUUGUUGGGAGCCCAAGAUACUUUCCCGACAUCGCUUCUCUUUGGAUUUGUAAGGCUGCCUUGACUCCCAUCUUAACUGAGGCGCCACUAUUAGGGCUAAAAACAUGGAGCUUUUUAGCUUGUUUGCACUCUGUCCGGAGCCUAUGUUGUAGUGGUGCAGAAUUUCAUUCAGCCUUACAGCACUCCUGGAGUUAGCUUUCAUAAAAACUAAGCAGUCAUCUGCAAAUAACAGAUGGGAAAUCCAUGGGGCAGUAUUGCCAACUCUGAUCCCCCUAUCAAUCCAACCUCCAUCAUAGUUUUGCAGCAUACACGAGAGGCCCUCUCCACACAGUAAGAACAGAUACGGUGAGAUCGGGUCCCCCUAACGAAAACCUCUCGGCGGUGAGAACAGCGGCAGCAAAUCUCCGUUGACUUUCACUUGGAAACUCACUGUUGUCACACACGCCAUGACAAGGGUAAUCCACCGCUCAUGAAACCCAAGUUGGCGCAUUAUCCCUUCUAGAUACUCCCAUUCUACUCGGUCGUACGCUUUGAUCAUAUCGAUCUUCACCGUACACCAACCUUGUUUUCCUCUCUUCCUUCUCAUCGAGUGUAUGCACUCGUACGCCACUAGGACAUUGUCAGUGAUCAACCGUCCCGGGACAAAAGCACUCUGUUCCUCUGCAAUAAUCUCAUCAAGAAUCUCCCUCAAGCGACUAGCAAGCACUUUAGAACAGAUUUUGUAUAUAACAUUGCACAAGGAGAUCGGCCUAUACUUUGUAAUAUUUUGCGUAUUUUUUACCUUUGGUAUAAGCACAAUCACCGUGCUAUUCACCGAAGCCGGCAUGUGUCCUCCAUUCAAGAGACCGAGGAUCGCCGCUGUAACAUCCGGUCCUAUCAACUCCCAGUAGCGUUGAUAGAAUCCAGCAUGGAAACCAUCACAUCCGGGUGCCUUUGUCGGCCCCAUAGCAAAGAGCGCAGCCUUCACUUCUUCUUCUCUGAACGGCCUAAUCAGUCGUUCAUUCAUUGGUUAUGUUAUUUUAUGUGGUACAUGGUGAAGUACUACCUCCACAUCCGUAUACUCUUGCGCCGUGUACAGGCUAGUAUAGAACUGCUGCACCUCGGCAUGAAUCUCUUCUUUUGUCUCACAAAUCUCCCCAUCCACAGUUUGGAGGCUGUGAAUCCGGUUUAUGCUCUUGCGUGUUGCCGCUCGAGCCUGGAAGAAGCCCGUUCUACGAUCACCUGCCUUAAGCCAGUUUGCCCUCGACCUCUGCCGCGCCAAGGUCUCCUCCUUUGAAGGAGCUCCGAGAGCUGACGGUCUAGGUCUUUUUCUUUCUUGGUCGGCCCCCGAAACAAAGAGUUGGAUCUUUCCUUCUCGUACUCCUUGCGUACAUUCUUACUUUUCCUAUUCAUGUCUCCAACCUUCUUUGUUUUCUAGUCCGUAAGAUGUACUUGCAUGUCCGAAAGGGCAUGUUCUAUGCCCUGCAAUCCUUGCAUUCCCGCCCCCUUGCGCGAGCCAUGUAACACAGCGACAUCAUAUGAUUCUUCCUGCUGCCACGCCUCCUCAUACAUGAAUCUGCACUGGAGCCUUUCUUCCUCCAAUGCUACCCCCUUCAUCUUCACCACUAGCAUGCACUGAUCAGAUUUUGGCGUUGGAGAGUGUCUCACGAAGGAAGCUGGAUACAUUGACAUCAUCGCCGGGUUCACUAAGAACCUGUCAAGCCGAACUUUUACAUUUGAAUCACCACGUUGCAUAUUAUCCCAAGUGAAAGGUACACCCUGGAAACCAAGAUCGUGUAGUUCACAAUCAUCCACACAUUGCCUAAAACCCUCCAUUUGCCACUCCAGGCGAUCAUGAGCUCCAAAGUACUCCGAGUUAUCAAGAAUUUCAUUAAAAUCACCUCCACAUAACCACGGAGCAUCACUUUGAGCUUUCAACCAUCUCAAUAAGUUCCAACUUUCUACACGUUCACUUCGUCUAGCUUUCGCAUAGAAACCCGUAAAGCGCCACUUUUUAUUAUCACCUCGUAUGUUCUUAACCGAUACAUCAAUAUGCUGAUUUGAGAAAGUAUUCAGAGUUACUUCUACUUCUCUUGACCAAAACAAAGUUAGUCCGCCACUGAGGCCGUCACUACUAACAGGGUAGCAACCCUCAAAACCAAGUCGGGUAGUAAGAUCACUAACCCUUCUUCCCUCAAUCUUCGUCUCCGAAACAAAGACUAGGGCGGGAACUUCUCUCUUCACUAAGUUGUGAAGUUCACGAACUGUCUCCGGGUUCCCAAGCCUGCGACAGUUCCACGAUAUACAAUUCAUUGCUCCCCGCGGGGCUGGUACCCAGCCUCCGCGAGGUUCCUUGCUUCUUCUUCCUCCGCCUUCUUCUUUGAGUCUCUGUUGUCCUCUCGUGACACGGACGACUCAUCCUCCUCAUUCUGCCUCUUCCUCAUGAUCAUCUCACUAUCUUGCAGUAACAUAGGGUCACUACCACCGCCCCUCGCAGUUGAGUUGUUCAUGUCGACCCUGCGAUAAACUGAGUUUGUCCCUCAACCUGUCCUACCUCCUCUGCCAUCAACACCUCUCCCCCUUGCAUUAAAUUGAUAGAUUGUGUUUUUAACUCUGCCAUUGGGAGGUCUCUCGGGUGAGUUUACUUCCAAACCAGGCUCCACAUCUUCAUGUCCUCCUCUUGUCUUGCUGUCUUCCCAUGUCACGGGCGACCUCAUGCUUAUAAGUUGGUUGUCUGCCCCAACUCCUGUUUUUACUAGUUGAGAAUCUGAGAGCCUCCCGGUACGGCGGCCUUCCAUGCUCAUCUCUCCCAAAAGGUGUAGGGCACAUCAGUUCGGCAUGUCCCAACAACUCACAUGAGAAGCAAAAGUAGGGUAAAUUUUCAUAUUGGAUAUCAAAGAAUUCAGACUCUUUUGUUUUUGACUUCUCCAAUUGCACCCAACACAUCAAAGGUUAAUCUACCUUGAUCCAAGCCCUGAAUCUGAGGCAGUCCCCAAAAGAAAACCCCUUGUCAUCCGCAUCCAGCGCAACCGCAUCUCCCACCAUGCUUGCUAUGCGUUUUGGCCACGGCGGGCAUAAUAGGUUAAACGGGAGGUUGAUCACCCGUGCCCAGAUUUCGAUCUUGUCUAAUUCUAGCUCUAUAGGGCGUGAUCUGAUGUUGAACCUCUCCAGAACCACACAGUGCUUCCCCACCACCCAUGGACCUCCCUCGAAGAUCCUAUCGCAAUCCCUCUUGAUGGCAAAACUAGCAAGAAAAACGUUCUUUCCCUUUGGCCGGAAAUUCAGUCCCCUCGGAUUACCCCACGCAGGGCGCAGGGCCUCCUCGAUGAUGUUCACGUGAAAGGACUUCCGAUACAAAACCUUGCCUAUGAGUGCAUAAUAUUCUUCCACUCUCUCUUCCUCCUCCUCAUCAAUGGCAAGCUUCGUCUUCUCCUUCUCCGUUAGAUCCAGUCGAUCCAUCAUCUGCUCCACCGUCUCAGCCUCCUUCGUCUUUCCCUCUCUCCUCCCAUGGCGCUUGACUCCGCCAUUACUUCGCCCAGCCUCCCCUGAUCCCCUUGCCCAUAGGGCCGCCAAGGGUGGGAAAGGACGCCAGGUCCCCCCUUGAUCACCCCGAGCAGGCCGACUGCCAAGAUCCGGCGAUCGGAGAGUAGAUGAGUCGGCGAUCACAAAACCCUAGUCAUGUGCCCCCGAGAUCGCCUCGUGCACUGCCCUGCCACUCGAAGCCCUAGAAAAAUGUUUCGGGGCUUGCAUGGUGUGUGUUCGCUUCUUGGUCGCGUGUGGUAGUUGUCGGUGUCAAAACCGGCGGAUCUCGGGUAGGGGGGUCCCGAUCUGUGCGUCUAAGGCUAAUGGUAAUAGGAGGUAAGGGACACAAUGUUUACCCAGGUUCGGGCCCUCUCGAUGGAGGUAAAACCCUACUUCCUGCUUGAUUGAUAUUGAUGAUAUGAGUGUUACAAGAGUUGAUCUACCACGAGAUCGUAGAGGCUAAACCCUAGAAGCUAGCCUAUGAUGAUUAUGAAUGUUGUGAUUGUCCUCAUACGGACUAAACUCUCCGGUUUAUAUAGACACAGAGAGAACUAGGGUUUACAUGGAGUCGGUUACAAGGAAGGAAAUAUAAUAUCCGAAUCGUCAAGCUUGUCUUCCACGCAAAGGAGAGUCCCAUCCGGGCACGGGACGAAGUCUUGAGUCUUGUAUCUUCACGGUCCAACAAUCCGACCAAAGUAUAUAGUCCGGCUGUCCGGAUACCCCCUAAUCUAGGACUCCCUCAGUAGCCCCUGAACCAGGCUUCAAUGACGAUGAGUCCGGUGCGCAGUUGUCUUCGGCAUUGCAAGGCGGGUUCCAUAUCCGAAUAGUCCAAAGUACUUGUUGUGACGAACGGUGUCCGGCUUCCCAUUAAUGUUGUACUCCUCGGCUUAUGUGCUUCAAUAAUGACCAUCUCCACGUGUCGAGCGAAUACGAGGAGCCGAGGCACUUUUGCAUUUGCCCCCUUGGUCCUGUACGCAAACCAUGUAUUUGAAGGGACGGGGAUUCCUAGAUCCAAGCUUCACCUUCUUCCCUUGAACGAGCAUCCAACAGAGCGCGCCCAGAAAAAAUCAUUCCAGCAUGGCCGGCCGUCGCAGCUCCUCCUCUUGCUCCCGUAGCUCUAAGCCAGGCGAUUGGGAAGAAUGUUCUGUUUCUCAAAACCGCUUAAUAGAGUUGCAGACCCAGGGGUUUCUUCCACCAGCGUUCAUGGUCCCCGUCCGAGCCGGACUAGCCACCUAUAAUGGUGGGGAGCAAGCGGAGAAAUCUCCAAAUCCAUCCCCAGGGGAGCGAAUAUGCCUCAUCCCGCAUCUGCUAAGAGGCGUCGGGUUUCCAAUCCAUCCAUUCCUUCGUGGGCUCCUGGAGUUUUACGGCCUCCAGUUGCACAACUUUACCCCUGCCUCCAUGCUGCACAUAGCAGGAUACGUCGCCCUUUGUGAAUUAUUUCUAGGCUGCGAGGCUCACUUCGGAUUAUGGAAGAAGUUGUUCUGCCUCGUCCCUCGCAACCAGGGGGAAUCCAUAUGUCAAGUGGGCGGAGCCGAGGUAUGGCGCGUCGCCGAGACCAGAUACCUAUCCGGUACUCCCAAGAAGGCACCAGAGAACUGGCCCUCGGAGUGGUUUUAUAUCGAUGACGUUCCCCUUCUGGAUCCAGUCCGGACAAGUCUCCCUAAGUUUAGUAAUGCUCCGCCGAAGACAUGCCGAAGUUGGCGCCCUCGGGGCCCCCAAGAGGAGGAUACCAGAGAAGUACAUUUCCUGAUGAGCAGGAUAAAGUUACUGGCAAAAUCAGGGCUGACAAUAGUCGAGGUUAUGGCAAUAUGCAUAAUGCGGGGAGUGCAACCGCUUCAGUAUCGGGGGAAGCCCAUGUGGCACUACAACGGGGAAGAUGAUGCCCCCGCUGUGGUCGUAAGGGUCCGGACUCGGCCAAUGCUCUGUCGAGAAUAUUGUUCGAUUUGUAUAAAGGAGAAGAAGAAGAAUUCCUUCAUAUUAAACUGCGGGAUGGGUUUUCUAUGUACAACCCCCAAGCUGGGUAAGUCGUCACUCUUCCCCCCACUUCAUUCAUUCUGGCGUCAUUCGUCAAGACUAUUAACCUCGACAUCUCCGAGCAGGAACCGAGGAGGGCCGUAGAAGGAUUCUCCAGCCCCUCCCCGCAGCCAGAGGACCCCGGAAGGGCCUUCGAUCUAGGACUCGAAGAAGACCCGGAUAUUACCGUGGAGCUCAUCAACGGGACAUUUUAUCAGGCGAGCUGUGAUGGCGCCUCAGUGGCCAUUAUUGCCGACUAUCCUGGACUGCUACCUGCAUCGCGGGUAAGCAAAGCCAUAAACCCCUAUCCUCAUAAGAGGAAUCCUUUUUGAUGCCAUGCCUUAUGCCUGAAGUAUCGUAUUCGUGUAGAGACGACAGUCGGAAUGCGGUACCGAGCCCCUAGGGGCCCGUCGGCAAAGGGCGUCCGGAUCGGGCAGGUUUAAGAGGAAGGCGGUUAGGGCCGAAACGCCGCUACAAAGGUAUGGAAAAAACCUACUAUGUGAUUAUUGUGUUUAAAAUGUGACAGUGUCCUUUGUGUCCUGGCAGAAAGAGGAGUAGCCGGACUAUAUCCGGAGAUCCUGCCAAUCACGCCUCCACCAACCGGAUUCCAGGACCAGCUUCGAGGGAGGAGGCGGACACGGGGCCAAUGCCGAAUUGUCCUCCGAUAGAGGAUGCGGAUAUGCUCUUCGCCACGAAUUCCGAAGUAGAGAGUGCCAUGAAUCAUCAGCGCCGACGGGCCAUUCUUUGCAACAGCAUCUUUUUCGAAGAGGCAUUUAACGCCUUCAAUUCGAGAGACGCAUACACCCGAGCUGCUCAAGGCGGGCUUGCCCGUGCGACGGACCAGUAUGCCAAAGAUAUACGGGUAAGAAAAUUUGAUAAGCAUGUAUAGUAGUAGCCCCUGAGACUUGAAACGGUUGGAAUAACUGUUUUAAGGAUCAAUUUAUGCAUAGGUCCUUGUAGAUAAGAAUGAACAAUUGUCUCGAGAGCUGGAGGAGUGCAAGGCCCAACUGAGGGCCACAGUUGCCAAGCUAGAGGAAUCCCAGAAGGCCUCUUUUGGUAAAAUUUGUCUCAAUUGUAUGGAAGUGUACCAGUUAGUAAGUGGCUUGUAUGAUAAGUCUAACAGAAAAUUCUGCAGACAAUCCCGGGGUUAAUCCGGAGGUCGUAGGAGGUGACGAGUCACAUCUCCAAAGGCAGCUAAAAGCUGGCGAGCGUAUUCUUACGCAAGUUAGGCAGGAGAAGAACAAUCUUCAAGAUGCCAAUGUCCGGCUGGGCGUCGAAUUAGGAGACGUUCGCACUCAGCGGGCGGACUCCGUGAAGGAGAACAGAAGGCUCCGUCGUGGCAUUUAUGGUAAGUGCCUAGACGAACUGUAGUACAGUUUGGCGAGGGAGCAUAUUGGCAGAUUUUUAUAUCUGUAGGUAUGCUAACGGGCCGUCCUGAAGAGGAGAUGCCCGCGUCCACAGGUGAUCUGCUGCGAGACCUCUCACAACUGCACGAGCGAGCUCGGUAGGUGAUGCAGGGUAUUGCCCAGGCCUUGUGGCCAUCCACUUCCCUGCCAAAAGGCAUGUGGGAGCUCGUGGAUAUGCUCCAAGGAGCAGGGCGGCGCUUCCGAUUGUGGAAGAUGUUAGCCUGCCGACAAGGUGCAAGGGAAGCCUGGGCUAUGGUGAAGAUGCACUACACCAAGCUUGACCCGAACCAUAUGGCCAAAGUCGGAUCGGCGGGGCCAGAUGGGCAAGAAAUUCCCGUGAGUCUGGUGUAUGACCAGGUAGCGUUAGCCGCAAAGUAUUCCCAACAGGAUUGUAGGCUAGAUAGCCUGUUGGAUGGUAUAGAGGAAGAAUUUAGUCAGUCCAAGUGACUAUGUAAUUCAAUGGACAUAUGUAGUCCCUAGCCGGAUUAAAAUCAUUUGUCAUGGCUGACCUUUUCGCUUCAGCCUCCGAAUCCAAUAGUCUGGGCUGUAUCCGAAUACCCGCUCAGUUAUGUAGAACCGGGGUAUGCGUGGAAACCAGUCGUAGGGGUCAUAAGUGCUUGAACAGACAAGUACCCAACUAGUUAUGUUAUAUUACAUGGAUAGUAAGAAACAUCUUCCAGGGAGAAUAGUUCCGUUAGGGGUUCCUUUCCCUGGGUGCGCAUGCAUCAAUGUACAUGUCCGUACUGCGAACGGAGGCGCGGGAUAAAAAACUUCAGGGGGUUCACGUUGUGAUAAACGAAAAAAAAACAUAUUUUGUUCACCGACGGAAUAUUCCCUUAAGAACGCUAGCUUUCGGCUUCACCCAGUCUGAGGUACACAUCCGGCUCAACCGGCAGUAACAAUCGCAGAGGUGCUCCCCUUAUGCCCUAACCGAAUUAACGGGAACGUAGGGUAUAAAUACAAGAGCCAGGCAACCCAACAUGGCCACAUCUUAAGUCAUAUCGAUGCAUAUAAUGGUGAAAAAAAGGCACAUAUGGAAAAAGAACGCAUAUGUGAUAAGUGUUGGUGUCAAAACCGGCGGAUCUCGGGUAGGGGGUCCCGAUCUGUGUGUCUUAGGCUGAUGGUAACAGGAAGCAAGGGACACAAUGUUUACCCAGGUUCGGGCCCUCUCGAUGGAGGUAAAAUCCUACUUCCUGCUUGAUUAAUAUUGAAGGUAUGAGUAGUACAAGAGUAGAUCUACCACGAGAUCGUAGAGGCUAAACCCUAGAAGCUAGCCUAUGAUGGUAUGAUUGUAAUUGUGAUCGGCCCUCUAAGGACCAACCUCUCCGGUUUAUAUAGACAUCGGAGAGGGCUAGGGUUUACAUGGAGCUGGUUACAAGGAAGGAAAUAUAAUAUCCGGAUCGCCAAGCUUGUCUUCCACGCAAAGGAGAGUCCCAUCUGGACAUGGGCCGGAGUCUUGAGUCUUGUAUCUUCACGUUCCAAUAGUCCGAUGUCCGGAUACCCCCUAAUCCAGGACUCCCUCAGUAGCCCCUGAACCAAGCUUCAAUGACGAUGAGUCCGGCACGCAUUCUUGUCUUCGGCAUUGCAAGGCGGGUUCCUUCUCCGAAUACUCCAAGGUAAUUAUCGAACACGUAGACCGUGUCCAAAUCUGCAAAAUGAUCUUCAUAUAUCACCGUAGAGAGAACGAUAUUUCACAAAUGUACUCUAUUGACAACUUUUUAGACGUAACAUGUCAUUAUGGUCGGGUCAUUAUUCGAAUCGUUUUCCUUCAACCAGCCAUAACGCAUAUUGCGAGGCGGUUUCCUUGACAUGUCUUGUCAAAGCAGAGAUCGUGUCCCCUUAUCACGGGAUUCUCAUCAAUACGGGUAUGGGUAAUCCCACCAUGCCAUCAAUCGUGGCACUUGGGAGGUGAGCGUUUCCCAACGGGCAAGUGGGGAGAAGCACCGCUUCCGUCGCCUCUAUAAGGGGAUAAGAGUUCCCCAUUUUUACCCACGCCUUCUUCCUCCUUUGCCCACUCUUGCCCCCUCGAGCUCCAGGGCCCUAGUCCAAGUCUCCUCCGCACAACUAAACAUGUCCGGAGCAGGAGGUAAGUGGGUGGCUUCCACCGUGAAGGAGAAGGAUAUCGCGAAUCUUCGGGCGGCCGGAUACUUGGCCGCAGACAUAGCGCACCGGCUACCAGACGAUGGGCAGGUCAUUCCAACCCCAGGACCCCACGAGAGGGUCGUGUUUCUCGCCCACUUCGUCCGUGGACUGGGGUUUCCACUUCACCCCUUCGUCCGCGGGCUCAUGUUCUACUACGGGCUAGAUUUCCAUGAUCUAGCCCCGAACUUCGUCCUCAACAUCUCGGCAUUCAUCGUCGUAUGCGAGGCCUUCCUCCGCAUCAAGCCUCAUUUCGGCUUGUGGCUACAAAUCUUCUGCGUGAAGCCGAAGAUCGUGAGCGGCCAGCAAGCGGAGUGCGGAGGAGCCAUGGUGGGCAAGAUGCCUAACGUCACCUGGCUUGAUGGCUCCUUUGCGGAAACUGUGAAGGGGUGGCAGUCGGGGUGGUUCUACAUCACCGAGCCGCGCGACGCCAACUGGGCGGUGGCCCCCGAGUUCCGAUCCGGAACCCCCAUGCAGCUCACCUCCUGGGGUGAGAAGGGCCUGUCCUGGGGCGAAUCUAAAGAGCUGACUGGACUCCAAAACUGCAUCAAGAGCAUGAAGGACAAGAACAUCAAGCUUUGUCAACGUGAUCUCGGUCAUGCUCGUUCGCCAGAUUCUGCCGUGCCAAAGGCGGGCAUUCAAUCUGUGGGAGUUCGUCCCGGCCGAACACCAGAUGCUUCAGAGGCUCUACGGCAUGAAGCACAAAAACGCAUGGAAGGCGUUGUUCAAGGCCUCCGAAGUACCUCCUCCCACAUCCGAGGACCGUGGGCUCCAUGCCGUGCGGCCUCCUAUUUAGGUGAGUUUCUAGGCUACCACCGGAUUUGGUUCUUCCCAAUAUAUUCAUGGGGGAGCCUCAAGUAAUUGUGCAUAUUUGUUCAGGAUUACAUGGAGACAGCGGAGCAGAUUGACUGUCCGGCUCCGCUGCCAGAAGACCCGGCUGAUGCUCUCCUGACGGAGAUGCUGGUCCCGGCGCCCUACAAGGUGCCGGAGAAGAAGGCCAAAAAGAAGGCCCUGGGGAUCCGAAAGGGUCUCCGGCGUAAGGUUGCACCGGAAACCUCGUCCGAAGACGACGAGGCACGCUCCUUCCCCGAAGGGGAAGAAGAAGAAGAAGAGGAGGCCGCCCCAUCCGGAGAGGACGGGGGGCCUGAGAGGGCGGACCAGGGGGCCAGGAGAGGCCCCCGGCGCAAGGCCGUCAUACCCUCGUCGUCCGAUGACGACGAGGCAGAUUCCUCCCAUGGAGGAGGGAAAAAACAAGAAGAAACUCCUCCUCCCCAUAUUGGGGGGGGGGAGAAAAAGAGGAAGGCCGCCCCGGAGGGGAGGCUAGGACGUCCAAGAAGGGAAAGGCGUCCCUUCCGGACUACUCCGCCACCGCCGCCGAUAGCGAGGAGGGGUGGUUGCCCAGGAAGAAGCCCCUAGUGCGAUCGUAAGUAUCUGCACUCUAUCAUAAUUUUGCUUCAUAGUUUUGUUAUAACGCCGAACUUGCAUGUAGUCCGACCAGGGUCCAUCCCGAGGUGUCAUCUUUGGAUGGGUCCUUGAGCGAUUUGGCGAUGAACUCGCUCCCGACGGCCACUACUCCUCAGCCUGCAAAUGACACGGAGGUGUUGUCCCAAAGGCUCCUAGAGCGGGGGGAGGUGGCUCUGGAGGCGCCCCAAGGCGGCAUUCCAGACGUCGGACACGCGGGGUUCAAGAUCCCCGCAGAUCGUGUCGGUGAGAGCCAUAGUAGGUCGGGCUCUCAACCGAACACGGUUCCGGAGCCUUCAAUGGUUCCGGAUAAGGCGGGCAGCCCCUCGUUAAGGAGGGAGAGCCGUCUGUGUCGAGGACUUCCGUUGCGCCCGAGGCGCCGGAUUGUCUGCUGGAAGCGCUUCGCGGCGCUUCCAUGGAUGAAGAGCACCGUACUCUUAUGAGUGCGGUGAUUCAGAAGGUUUCGUCCGCCAAGAGCGGACUAACCGAAGCUUGCACCAGCCUCCUGACAGUCUUUGAGGUAAGUAUUAAAAAUGUGUGAAAUUACCACCCGAUAGGUAGUAUCCCCUGAUACUCUGUUUGGUGUUCGGAAGGAAAAACCAAACGGAGGGUCAAUUAUAAUUCGCAGGAGUCUAACAAUAAGUUUGAAUGUGAAUAAGCAGGCUAUGCUGCUUGCCGCUACGGUCCGUACCGUCGAGAUCGCCAGACUAAAACAGGACCUAGAGCAGGCUCAGGGAGAGCUCAACCUCACGAGGAGGCAGCUCGAAGAGAACAAAGGUGAGUGAUUCCCCGCUCUCAUAUAAUGAAGGAUAGAUAAAAUUGGUUAUUGUAACAACGAAACGUCGUGAUUUUGUAACAGGGGCCACCACCGAAGUGGCGUCUCUGAAGAAAGCAUUGUCCGAGGCCGAACACAAGGCGGCCUUGGAACGCAAGGAGUGCGGGAAGCAAGAUGCUAGAGUGGGCGAGGUACAGCAAGAGCUCCAGGAGCUCGGCAAAAAGUUCGAGUCCGUGGAGCAUGAGCUUAAGGCGAAAGAGGCCGAGCUUGCGAAGGCCCUUGCAAGUAUAAAAGACGCCAAGGCCGAAGCCGAGAAGGGACAGUAGGAAAUCCAGGAGGCCAAAAAGAUAGUGACGGGUAAGAAAUUCUUUAUGCAAAGCAAACAUGUGGAGGAGGCGUUUCUUUUACUUACCCGAGUUCGGAGCUCUCCAGGGGCAUUCGCAGAUCUACCAUGCAGCGUAUCAGAUACCGCGGAGUUCUACCGUGCCCAGGAGGGGAGGUCAACGAAGAAGCUGUUCUGGUCCCAGUAUGCUGGGGCCAAACAUCCAACGCCUCUGAGUGACCAACUAAAGCAGUUGGUUGAACUCCACAGGGCAGCCGAAGCGGCUAUGAAGGAUUUCAUAGUCCGGAUGUGGCCCGGUGAGCCCCUGCCCGCCAGCUACUUCGGCCUGAUCAAGCAGACGGUGAAUACCUGUCCACGGCUUGAAGUGAUCAAAUGAUCCGUUUGCAUUGAGGGUGCCCGCCAGGCCUUUGCCCAUGCGAAGGUGCAUUGGGGCAAGCUGGAUGCGGAGAAGCUGGUGAAGGAUGGGCCGCCGGAGGGCAAGGCGCGCCGCUAUCCCGAGAAAUAUUAUGAAGGCGUUAUGAAGGGCGCUCGUCUCGUGGCCGAUGAAUGUACCAAGGACACAAUUUUAGAAUGAAUUCACUUCUUCCAUGUUUGUAAUAUAAGGAUGAAGUUACUUGCACUAUGUAGUGCUUUUUAAUUUAAAAUAUUACCUUCUGUGUGGAUGUUUAUAAAAUUCUGAAAGUAGGCCAGUCGUCGGCUUCCGCCCUCACGCAACUAGUACUGGGGUGUUCGUGGAAAACCCGGACACUCUUUAUCCAAAUGUUUGGUCCCUUAAGGAGGUGUGUGGCGCAGCGAACAAGGCAAUCGGACUAUGCGGCUUUAUAACUUUCACAUAGCCAUAGAACUCUACAAUUUUAAAUUUCGGCGAAGCCCCUAGAAUCCGGAAGGCCGAAUUGGGGCGCUAUAUACGCCUAGAUCGGACGAAGCCGAUUUAUCGCCUAAAGCGGAAAGAUCUUUAAGGAUUUUGAGACCUCUCGAACAGGGACCAGCUCUCUCCACACCAUGCCGGUCAAUUUUCGGCUUUCUCUACUGAGGUGCUCGUCCGGAAGAACCGGGACACAAUCGCAGUAGUUCUCCCUGCGCUAUCUUAGCCGAUAUAACGGAACGUAAGGUACCAAAACAAGGAAGCCGGGCUAACCCAACUGUAGACCCAAGACACGAUUCGGAGCUUAUGCAUAUAAUGCUAUAAGUUCGGGGUGCUGCACUGUUGAAAGUGUUCGGACUUUGCUUGCCGCAUUGCGGGGUGCCAUAAGAAGCCCGUGGCAAAAUAAAUGUACCAAAGUGUACGGAUGCAAUAGUAAAUAAACAUUUAUAGAAAAAAUGUGCAGAUAGGAAUAAUAAGCUGACACUAUAUAUGAUUUCCCAUUGAUGAAUAAUACGUUUAAGCGUAUGUUUACAAUGCGUGCAUUUAAGCAGAAAUGUGUAGGACUAUUUAACAUGUCCUAUUCAAGGGCAGGCUGCAUGUAGGUAUAUAAAAUAGGUAUAACGAUCGUGAACAGAUUCCACCUGGGUAUUUCCUUUGAUGCGCAAAGCAUGUUACCUCCUUGGUUUGCUCUCCUUUGUAAGUUUGACGAUCCGGCUCUUCUGAAGAGGCUGCACUAAAGCAAUGUCCUGAAAGGUAAAAGGAAAGGUUAUGAAGGUAUAUUGCGGUGAUACCGCACUGUUGACUGAGCCACUGCUGCGCCUCUGCCUGUGCCCAUGGUAUUUUGAGUGCAUAAUUGUGUACACGUGGCAUGAAUGCUGCUUUGAUAGGAUUUGAGCGGAGGCCGGACUGCUAGUCGCGCUCUUGGCGUGCCUGGUGAUCCUGUUGCGGGGUGCUCCGGACUCGCUUGACGGUGCUUGAGGUUGUCGUCGCUGGAUUGGUGGUUUGUCGGAGGAGGUCGCAUUGUACUUCUGCCGCGAGGGCUGCAGUAUGCUCUUCUGUACGGAGAGAGCAGUCCAUGUUUCCGUUGACUGUUAUGACCCCGCGCAGGCCUGGCAUCUUGAGCUUAAAGUAUGCAUAGUGUGGUACCGCGUUGAAUCUAGCGAAUGCGGUUUGUCCGAGCAGUGCAUGGUAACCACUACGGAAAGGGACGAUAUCGAAGAUUAACUCUUCGCUUCGGAAGUUAUCCAGAGAUCCAAAGACCACUUCCAAUGUUAUAGAGCCUGUACAACGGGCCUCUACUCCAGGAACUACACCUUUAAAGGUGGUUUUGGUGGGCUUGAUCCUUGAAGGGUCGAUGCCCAUUUUGCGCACUAUGUCCUGAUAAAGCAGGUUCAGGCUGCUGCCGCCGUCCAUGAGGACUCACGUGAGGUGGAAUCCGUUAAUGAUUGGGUCUAAGACCAAUGCGGCUGAGCUGCCGUGACGGAUGCUAGUAGGAUGAUCCCUACGAUCAAAGGUGAUCGGACAAGCUGACCAUGGGUUGAACUUGGGGGCGACUGCCUCCAUCGCGUAGACGUCCCGUAGUGCUCGCUUCCGUUCCCGCCUGGGAAUGUGAGUAGCGUAGAUCAUGUUGACCGUUUUCACCCGGGGGGGAUUUCUUAUGCCCCCCCGUGUUCGGACGCCGGGGCUCUUCAUCAUUGUUGAUGUGCAGGCCCUUGUCCUUGUUUUUGGCGUUUAUUUUGCCGGCCAGUUUGAACACCCAACAGUCUCUAUUAGUGUGGUUAGCUGGCUUGUCUGGGGUGCCAUGAAUUUGGCACGGGCGCUCCAGUAUGCGGUCAAGACUGGACGGUCCCUGAUUGUUUCGUUUGAACGGUUUCUUCCACUGACCGGAUUUGGAUCUGCUGAAUCCAGCGUUGACUGCCGUGUCUUCGGUGUUGUCGCCGUUGUUCCGUCGCUUGUGUCUUUUGCGCCAUAGCUUGCCAUUAUUGUCACGGACGUCUGAAGUGCCAGAAUGUGGCGUAGUGCUGCUGUGAGCCAACCAGCUGUCCUCGCCCGCGCAAAACGGGUCAUUAGUGUCGUGAGAGCUGCCAUGGACUUGGGUUUCUCCUGGCUGAGGUGUCGGGCGAGCCACUCGUCGCGGAUAUUAUGCUUGAAGGCCGCCAGGGCUUCGGCGUCCGGACAGUCAACUCUUUGGUUCUUUUUAGUUAGGAACCGAGUCCAGAAUUUCCUGGCGGAUUCUCCGGGCUGUUGAGUAAUGUGGCUCAAGUCAUCGGCGUCCGGAGGUCGCACAUAUGUGCCUUGGAAGUUGUCAAGGAAUGUGUCUUCCAGAUUUUCCCAGCUGCCAAUGGAAUUUGCAGGCAGGCUUUUUAGCAAGUGCCGGGCGGGUCCUUUGAGCUUAAGGGGAAGAUACUUGAUGGCGUGUAGAUCGUCUCCGCGGGCCAUGUGGAUGUGGAAAAGGAAAUCUUCAAUCCAUACCGCGGGGUCUGUUGUGCCAUUGUAUGAUUCGAUGUUUACGGGUUUGAACCCUUUUGAGAAUUCAUGAUCCAUCACUUCAUCGGUGAAGCAGACGGGGUGUGCGGCGCCUCUGUGCCGGGCUAUGUCGCAACGCAGUCCGACUAAGUCUGGCUGGUUGUGUUCGGCCCGGCCGGAUUUACUGUUAGUGUAUCAGGUAUGACGAUCAUCGUCAUGUGCUGCAGCGCGCCCCCGUGAUCCGUAGAUCGAUCUUGGUUGUCCUGCGGUGUUAUCCAAUCUUUCGUGCAGGUCCUGAGUAUUGCCCCGGGCCGUGGUAAACUGGCGCGGGGGUGCGGGCUGGUAUUCGGGCUGAUAUGCCAUUUUAUCCCGACCUCGAGGCGGCCGGUCAGCCGUGUGGCGCUCGAGUCCAUAUUCCUCGGCUGCCAUGACUUCUGUUCAUCUGUCUGUGAGCGGGUCUUGAUCAUCUUGAAGCUGUUCUUGCUUCUUCUUCAGGCUCCUCGCAGUGGCAAUAAGCCGACGCUUGAAGCGCUCCUGCUCCACGGGGUCCUCAGGCACGCCGAACUCGUCGUCGCUGAGGCUAAUCUUGUCUUCGAAGGGGGGCAUGUAGUUGUCCUCCUCCGGAUACCCGCCCGUCGCCUGUUCAUCUGGGCUGUCCUGCCCAUCUUCCUGCUCGGCCUGCUCGAAGGCGGGUUGAUCGGGGUUGUAUUCAUCUUCGGCACCGUCCGGAUUGUUGUCGUUCUGGUGCCGGUAUUGCCGUGGCGGGGCUUGGAGCGGCGCUGGCGGGGCUUGGAGCGGCGCUGGCGACGCCCAUGCUUUGCUUUCUUCUUGGAGGGGUUAUCCUCCAUUGCCUCAUCGCCAUUGGUUUCUUUCAGAGUGUCCACCAUAUAUAUGUCAUAUGAAGAGGUGGCUGUCCACCGCCCCUUGGGUGGUGGUUCCUGUUCUUCUCCUACAUCAUCGUCCAGACCGUCGAUGUCUUCGGAGUCAAAGUCAAGCACGUCGGUCAAGUCAUCGACCGUGGCUAUGAAGUGGGUGGUGGGUGGGCAACGAAUUCCUUCGUUGCUAGCUUCCCACACGAGCCGGACAUAGUUCGCCCGAGAGCCUCCUGACAAAGAGAGAGACUUUAAUGUGUUCAGCAUGUCGCCAAAGGGCGAGUGCUGGAAGAUAUCCGCAGCGGUGAACUCCAUAACCGGAGCCCAGCCAGGCUCGGCGGGCUCGGGAGUGCGCGGACUGGAACCUACAACCGGAUACGAGUCCGGGGGUCUAGAAUCACAAGCGUCCCUAGGGGUGAGGCCUGUGUUCGGCUCUACCGCCGAUGAGUAUGCGGCCUGCGAGGCGGGGCCCAUCCCUCCGUCCUCAGGUGAUGCAGCUUGUUCCGGAUUUAGGUCCGGGGCUAUUGCAGGGGUGAUAUCCCGAGCAUUGUCCGACAGCAGGUCUAGGCCGUGCUCGUCAUGAUUGUCCGACGCUCUCGGCAUAAGCCAGAUUCCAUCAAAGAUCAAGUCUCCGCGGAUAUUGGCCGUGUAGUUCAGGUUUCCGAACCUGACCUGGUGGCCGGGGGCGUAGCUAUCGAUCUGCUCUAGAUGGCCAAGCGAAUUGGCCCGCAGUGCGAAUCCGCCGAACACAAAGAUCUGUCCGGGGAAAAAGUAUCGCCCUGGACCGUGUUGUUGACGAUUGAAGGCGCCAUCAAGCCUCGAAGCGACGACACAGAGGAACUCUCGAUGAAAGCACCAAUGUCGGUGUCAAAACUGGCGGAUCUCGGGUAGGGGGUCCCGAUCUGUGCGUCUUAGGCUGAUGGUAACAGGAAGCAAAGGACAUAAUGUUUACCCAGGUUCGGGCCCUCUCGAUGGAGGUAAAACCCUACUUCCUGCUUGAUUAAUAUUGAAGAUAUAAGUAGUACAAGAGUAGAUCUACCACGAGAUCGUAGAGGCUAAACCCUAGAAGCUAGCCUAUGAUAGUAUGAUUGUAAUUGUGAUCGGCCUUCUAAGGACCAACCUCUCCGGUUUAUAUAGACACGGAGAGGGCUAGGGUUUACAUGGAGUCGGUUACAAGGAAGGAAAUAUAAUAUCCGGAUCGCCAAGCUUGUCUUCCAUGCAAAGGAGAGGCCCAUCCGGACACGGGCCGGAGUCUUGAGUCUUGUAUCUUCACGUUCCAAUAGUCCGGACGAUGUAUAUAGUCCGGCUGUCCGGAUACCCCCUAAUCCAGGACUCCCUCAAUAAGCAAGAAGCCAUGAAAGCAAUUAUAUUCAGCUUCCGUAUAGGAAGCCCCCAGGUAUGUCUUACACACAUAGUGCGGUCAGAACAAUCCGAGCAUCCGCACUGUAUUGAGUAAUUUGUGUGAAGAAUGAAAAAGAACGAGAAAGGAAAAGGGGGAGGAACAAAAUGAAAAAGGAGUGGUAAGGAGACGAACACUGAGUUUGGCAUUAGGCGUAGAAUCUCCGGAGUCUGGCCGCGUUCCAUGGGUUCGGCUCGAGUCUGUUAUCAGAUGCAUUACGUAGACGGUACGCUCCUCCAAUGAGAACUUUGUCAAUAACAAAGGGGCCCUCCCACUUAGGUUUGAGCUUGUCCUUCUUCUCCGGUAGGCGUAGAACGAGUUCACCAAUAUUAUAAGUUUUGGCCCGCACUUCUCUGCUUUGGUACCGUCGAGCCUGCUGCUGAUAGAAUGCGGAACGGGCCUUUGCGAUGUCGCACUCCUCCUCCAGGGCAUCUAAGUCGUCCUGCCGGUCUAGCUCGACUUCCUUCUCUUUGUACAUGCAUACGCAAGGUGAAUCAUGUAAUAUAUCACAGGGUAGUACUGCUUCUGCACCGUAUACCAUAAAAAAUGGUGUGUAUCCGGUGGUGCGAUUCGGCGUGGUCCGUAGCCCCCAGAGUACGGAGUCGAUUUCCUCGACCCAGUGCGUGUCUGAUUCCGUCAAGGAACGCACUAGUCUGGGUUUGAUGCCACUCAUGAUGAGACCGUUUGCACGUUCGACCUGGCCAUUUGUUUGGGGAUGGUAGACGGAGGCAUAAUCGAGCUUAAUGCCCAUGUUGUCGCACCAGGUUUUCACUUCAUCGGCUGUGAAGUUUGAGCCAUUGUCAGUGAUGAUGUUGUGGGGGAUGCCGUAUCGGUGUAAGACCCCGGAUAUGAAGUCUAUCACUGGUCCGGAUUCGGCCGUUUUGACUGGUUUGGCUUCUAUCCAUUUGGUGAACUUGUCCAGCAUGACCAACAAGUAUUUUUUCUUAUGGCUUCCCCCUUUAAGGGGUCCGACAAUAUCCAGCCCCCAGAUCACGAAGGGCCAAGUGAUGGGGAUUGUUUGGAGAGCGGUAGGGGGCAUGUGGCUCUGAUUGGCAAAGAGCUGGCAACCGACGCAGUGUUGAACAAGGUCUUGUGCGUCUGCUUGGGCUGUAGGCCAAUAAAAGCCUGUGCGGAAGGCCUUGCUGACAAGUGCCGAAGCUGUAGCGUGGUGUCCGCCGAGUCCGGCAUGGAUUUCAGCCAAGAGCUACCGCCCUUCCUCUUCAAAGAUGCAUCUUUGGAGCACUCUGGUCGCGCUUUUCUUAUAGAGUUCCUCCUCAUGGACCUUGUAGGCUUUGGAACGCCGCAUGAUGCAACAUGCUUCAUUUUGGUCCUCGGGUAGCUCCUGCCUAUUUAGGUAGGCCAAGAAAGGCUUGGUCCAUGGGGCAAUUACAGCCAUGAUUUCGUGGGCCGAAGGUGUUAUUUCGGUGGCGGAGCCUCCGAUUACGUCUGAUGGUUCAGAGUCAAGGGGUGUAUCCGGGUCCGUGCUAGUGUUGCCGGACUCCCCUUCCCAUACUACGGACGGCCUGAACAGCCUUUCCAGGAAUAUGUUAGGUAGGACAGGGUCGCGUUUAGCACCGAUGUGGGCGAGGAUAUCCGCUGCUUGAUUGUUUUCUCGAGCCACAUGGUGGAAUUUGAGCCCCUCGAACCGAGCUGACAUUUUGAGGACGACAUUACGAUAGGCCGCCAUUUUCGGAUCCUUGGCAUCAAAGUCUCCGUUUAUUUGUGAUAUUGCUAGGUUUGAAUCCCUGCGCACCUCCAGGCGUUGAAUGCCCAUAGAGACUGCCAUCCGAAGACCAUGCAACAGAGCCUCAUAUUCGGGUGCGUUGUUGGAGUCUGUAUAUAAUAUUUGGAGUACGUAUUGGACCGUGUCUCCGGUGGGAGACAUCAGGACUACCCCUGCUCCCAAUCCGGCCAGCAUUUUAGAGCCGUCGAAGUGCAUGAUCCAGUUAGAGUACGCGCCGUACUCUUUAGGGAGUUCGGCUUCUGUCCAUUCGGCGACAAAGUCAGCCAGUACUUGCGAUUUAAUGGCCCGCCGUGAUUUGUAUGUUAUGUCAAACGAAAGGAGCUCGAUGGCCCAUUUAGCAAUCUGGCAUGUAGCAUUGCAGUUAUUUGUUAUGUCGUUGAGUGGUACUUCGGAGGCCACCGUGAUCGAACACUCUUGGAAGUAGUGUCGUAGCUUCCGGGAUGCCAUGAAGACCGCAUAUGCUAUCUUUUGAUAGUGUGGGUAUCGGGAUUUGCAUGGGGUGAGGACCGUGGAUACGUAAUAUACCGGCUUUUGGAGCGGGAAUUUGUAUCCGUUAGCCUCUCGUUUGACGAUGAGCGCUGCGCUUACAACUUGAUGUGUUGCAGCUAUGUACAAUAGCAUAGGUUCGCCAGUAUUUGGCGCUGUUAGGACUGGAUUACUGGCCAACAAGGUCUUUAUUUCAUCCAGUCCGGCCGCGGCUGCAUCCGUCCACAUGAAGUGUUCGGUGCGCCGAAGAAGGUGGUAAAGAGGUAAUGCCUUCUCCUAAUCGGGAGAUAAAGCGAGUUAUGGCAGCCACGCACCCAGCUAGUUUCUGGAUAUGCUUGAGGUCUGUUGGGAUAGCCAACUGCGACAGAGCUCAGAUUUUUGCCAGAUUCGCUUCAAUUCCUCUAUUGGAAACAAUGAAGCCUAGCAGCUUUCCGGAGGGCACGCCGAAAACACAUUUUUCCGGGUUUAGCUUGAUGUCGUAUCUCCGGAGGUUAUCGAACGUAAGCCUCAAGUCAUCUAUUAGGGUUUCGACGUGUCUUGUUUUUAUGACCACGUCAUCCAUGUAUGCCUCCACUGCUUUGUCGAUUUGCUUCUCCAGGCAUGUUUGAAUCAUGCGUUGAUAGGUUGCGCCGGCAUUUUUAAGCCCGAAAGGCAUAGUGUUGAAGCAGAAAAGACCGUAUGGCGUUAUGAAGGCCGUUGCAGCUUGGUCGGACUCUGCCAUUUUUAUUUGAUGAUAUCCAGAGUAUGCGUCGAGGAAACACAGUGAGUCGUGUCCUGUGGUGGCGUCGAUGAUUUGGUCGAUGCGAGGGAGGGGGAAGGGAUCCUUGGGGCAAGCCUUGUUGAGGUCUUUGAAGUCGACGCAUAGGCACCAGGAUUUGUCCUUCUUCGGUACCAUUACCAGGUUAGCCAGCCAGUCCGGAUGCUUGAUAUCUCUGAUGAAUCCGGCCUCAAGUAGCUUGGCUAGCUCUUCUCCCAUGGCUUGCCGUUUAGGCUCUGAGAAGCGCCUAAGAGUCUGUUUGACUGGCUUGUAUCCUUUCAGUAUGUUGAGGCUGUGUUCGGCCAGCUCGCGUGGGAUGCCCGACAUGUCUGAAGGAUGCCAGGCGAAAAUGUCCCAAUUCUCGCGUAGGAACUUGCAUAGUGCGGCGUCCAUUGUGGGGCUCAACUGUGUCCCGAUGGAAGCUGUCUUCGUGGGGUCCGUUGGAUGGACCUGGAAUUUAACUAUCUCGUUUGCGGGUUUAAAUGAUGUGGACUUGGGUCGUUUUUCGAGUAUCACGUCGUCCCUGUCCACUGUGGUGUGCAGUGUUGUUAGUUCUUCGGCCGCUAGGGCUUCAAAUAAUGCCUCCAGGGCAAGUGCUGCAGUUUUAUUUUCCGCGCGGAGUGCGACGUCUGGGUCACUCGCUAGAGUGAUGAUUCCAUUGGGUCCGGGCAUUUUAAGCUUCAUGUAUCCAUAAUGGGGUAUAGCUUGAAAGCUUGUGAAUGCAUCCCGCCCUAAAAGGGCGUGGUAUCCGCUGCUAAAAGGAGCCACUUGGAAUGUGAUUUCUUCGGACCUGUAAUUCUCCGAGGUACCGAAUACUACAUCGAGUGUGAUUUUUCCCGAACACCGUGCCUCCCGACUAGGGAUGAUUCCCCUAAAGGUUGUGCCGCUCUGCUCAAUGCGACUUUUGUCCAUUUCCAUCUUGAUGAGUGUUUCUUUAUAGAUCAAGUUUAGUCCACUUCCGCCGUCAAUGAGUACUUUGGUGAGCCGAAAGCCGUCUAUGAUUGGGCUAAGGACCAAUGCGGCAGGUGCCCGGACUGUCUGGAAUUGUGGUUCGGCACUGGCACUGAAAGUUAUAGCAGUGUCGUUCCACGGGUUUAUUUUUGCCACGUGGCAAAUUUCAGCGAGAUUUCGAUGGGCCCACUUGCGCCUAUUAUUUGAGGUGAAAGUCUCGAAGACUAUUAAUACCGCAUUGUUGUCAUUGGCGGGACGUUGCUCUUCUUUAUUGAUAAGAAGAUCCUCGCCGCUUUUUGCUACCUGCCGGAGUAUCCAACAUGCUCUAAGGCUAUGUGUUGGCUUAGUGUCCGGCGUGCCAUGAAUUUUGCAUGGCCCAUUGAGCCAUUCUUCCAAUACGGUUCCACGCCCUGGAGUGGGCUUUGGCUUUUUCGGAGUUGGAUCGGGCAACUUAGGAGAGUUUGCCCUUUUAACUCGGAGGGAAGGCUUAGUGAGAGCCGAAUUAUCCCAAAAGUCGGCUUGGGUUUUCCAGGUACUUUUCAUCGCACAGUACUUCUGUACUAUGGCUGCUAAGUCAGCAAAGUGUACUAUGUCACAACAACUUAUAGCAUUAAGGAUCCCUUUGUUCGUUCAAUUUGUGCAAAAAAAUGAAAUUGCGUCCUCCUCGCGACAGUCCUUAACCUUGUUUAUCACAAGGAGGAAUUUGGCCUAGUAGCGAUGUACUGUUUCUUGUGGCUCUUGUCUGAUAUGGGAGAGAUGGAUUAAGUAUGGGUGGGUGGGUGUAGUUGAAUCUAGAUUCUGAUCCGAUCUAACGCCCUGGGGCAGGGGAGCUUCCGGGCUUGACGGCCCGGGAUCCGGAGCGCUGCCCGAUUUUUCCGGCCUGAUACCCGAUUCUAAGUCCGGGAUCUAGGUCGUGUUCUCCCGUGAGCGGGUAUCCGGCUCAGGGAGCUCAGUAAUCCGGACAUAAUUCGUCCUCAAAAUAGAGGGACGAUCCAUAUGUGGUUCCUCCACCACCGCUAUCUCGUGGGUGACCGGUGGGGAUUUAAUAUCCCUCUGGUCGGGUUUAAGCCCAAUCCGGUCGUAGUCCGUAGCGAUUCCCAAAGCGGCGAUGCGAUCCAAGAGCUCAUUAAGGGAAGAGAGCUCCAUUGGAUCCAUCUGUUUGGCGAGUUCCGAAUUGACGUGGAGGCUAUUCGUGAUGACCCGAGAGGUCAUCGUCGGUGCGACAGCCGAUCAGGCGGCCAUGAUGAAGCCACCUAGUCGAAGAGUUUGGCCUACAGCCAGAGCUCCCCCAGAGGUGAUGUUGUCCUUGACAACGAGACGGGCCAUCGAGCCUUGCAACGACGGCACAGAGGAACUCUCAAUGAAAGCACCAAUGUUAGUGUCAAAACCGGCGGAUCUCGGGUAGGGGGUCCCGAUCUGUGCGUCUAAGGCUAAUGGUAACAUGAGGUAAGGGACACAAUAUUUACCCAGGUUUGGGCCCUCUCGAUGGAGGUAAAACCCUACUUCCUUCUUGAUUGAUAUUGAUGAUAUGAGUGUUACAAGAGUUGAUCUACCACGAGAUCGUAGAGGCUAAACCCUAGAAGCUAGCCUAUGAUGAUUAUGAAUGUUGUGAUUGUCCUCAUACGGACUAAACUCUGGUUUAUAUAGACACCGGAGAGAACUAGGGUUUACAUGGAGUCGGUUACAAGGAAGGAAAUAUAAUAUCCGAAUAGCCAAGCUUGUCUUCCACGCAAAGGAGAGUCCCAUCCGGACACGGGAUGAAGUCUUGAGUCUUGUAUCUUCACGGUCCAACAGUCCGGCCAAAGUAUAUAGUCCGGCUGUCCGGAUACCCCCUAAUCCAAGACUCCCUUAGUAGUGGCUCCAACUUUGGUAUAGAUUAUCAGCCUUAUUAUUUUCUCACUCGAGAUUUUGGGGACAUGUAAACUUGGAAAGUAGUACUUUUUUUCUAAACUAGUAGGAAUAACUUGGAACAUACUUAUAGAGUAUCUAUAGUGAGACGUCUCAACCCCCAACCCCCCGCCUAAAACGCCCGGGAGGCCGGCCCGGUCAAUGAUGGAUCAAGAAAAUGCGAUCAGACGGGCGCCUCAAACCGUCCUCCAACGCCCGGACAGACCGGCACCCCUCAUAUUCAGUCUAAAUCUAGGGCACGACUGGGCACGUCUGCAACAUCGGAAUUGGCACACUCUUGCCCAUCCUGACCCCACAUAUAUUCGUCCACAUCCGCUUCCCGGACCAAACCCUAGCCAAUCCCCUCUAGUCGACUCCGCCACCCAAGCUCUGUACGGCGAUCUCCAGUGUUCUCUGGCAUGGGGGAGGGCAGCGCCCGCAUUGCCCUUCAUCGCUCCCGGGAGGAUUGCACCCGACCAACAGGGGGAUCUGUUCGAUGUGAAUCCAUUGCAUUGGCGCAAAGGGCGCUUGGAUCCGCUGAGGCUGGUAGCCUUCCCAUCUCUGGUCUGCCAGAGUAUGAGUGGUACAUGGAUCAGUGCGCCCAUCGUGGGAAGGAGAGGAUAAGGGUGGCUGAGGCUCGCCUUGCUGCCGACAUGGCGGCGGAUGCAGUGGCACGUGUUGUUGCGGAGGAGGAAGCCAUUUGUCCUUGCAUCAUAAAGAAGUGGCAGCGGGGGGACACGCUCUCUCUCGCCCUAGAGCAAAAUCGGGCGGUAUGUGCCAUGGUCAGAUAGCCUCCCAAAGAGAAGAAGGAGGACAAUGAUGGGUCGAACGACUCCGGUGAUGAGCAUGUCCGGCUAGAUCCGUUUUGUGUUUUCGAGUGCUACUUCCGCGGGAAAGAUGGCAAAGGUGCCGGGAAGGGCAAGGGCAGUUGUGGAUGAGCUUCUCCAUAGCUAAUAUGUAAGUAGAACAUUCCAAAUUUUGGUAGUUUGAUGGCAUGUUGAUGUAGUAGCCAAACGGUGUGUGUUGUAUCAUUUAGGUACGCUGCAUGUGUUUUGUAUGGAUUUGAGGUUUGCUAAUUGAGGUGUCCAGUUGUGUGAAGGAAAAUUUGAGGUGUGACCAGUCACUAUCUGCGGAUGCGUCCGGACGCGUCCGCCGGCUAAUAGGGGCGGAUUUGUCAAGUCCGGACAUAGAUGCUCUUAAAAGAGGAGUCCAGGGAGUGUCAUUGACUCGCUACAAUGCGGACCCUCAAACUACCAGCAUCCGUUCGGACCGCGAGGUCCGCCAUGCAGUCCUGCAUCUGUCUAUUGAUCGGUCUUGGCGUCCUUUUUCCCACGAACUAGAAGCAAACAAGGGGCUUUGUGGGCGUCCAUACCGCUGCCACCCACGCGUCUGACAACCCUGACCCACCCAAAACCUUCUCCCGCACUCACGCCCUUUCCCGCUCAAAGCGGUCAGCACCGCAUUCAUGCCGGCCAGAGUGGACGCAACCUCUCACUGGAGUCGACAUUGUAGCUGCGUGCCGACCGAGAGCAUCGCCUCGCCAUUUAAACCAGUGUGUUUGCUGAUACGUCUCCAACAUAUCUAUAAUUUAUGAAAUAUUCAUGCCAUGUAUACAACAAUUUUAUAUUGUUUGGUAUGAUUUGAUUAGAACUAACCCAGACUAACGAUGUUUUCAGUAAAACUACCGUGGUGUUGUUUUUUAUGCAGAAAUAAAAGUUCUCGAAAUGGGCUAAAAAUUUACGAUGUUUUUUUAUGGACCAAAAGAGACUCCUGAAGCACCUGAGCUGGGCUAGGAAGUGAACAAGGAGGCCACAAGCCUAGGGGGCGCGCCCACCCCCCUAGGGCGCGUCUCCCUGGCUUGUGGGCCCUUCGGGCACCCUCCUGACGUGAGACCUACGCCAAAUCUUGGCGCGAGGGUGCCUGUCCGAACGUUUUGGUCAAACGUGUAAUGUUAAGUUAUUAGUAACUCAAUUGCUAUUAGUAGCCACUAUAUAACCAAGAGAUCAGAAUGUUCAAAGCACACAUGCUUCCCAAACCAUAUACAAAGACAGGCAAUAGUAGAAACCUGAUAUCACAAAUGAUAAUAUCCUUUGUAGGUACAACUUUAUUCCAUGUUUGUGGCUGGAACAUGUGUACAUCAGAAACUUUAACUACAAUAUGGUAAACAUCUCCACGACCAAGCAAGAAAUCAGAAAUAGAACAGCGGACAUCUUAAGUAAAGCAAGCACCGGCCAAUUACAUAUAAGUCUGUAUUAAUCCUCAGCACUGUCCAUGACGAAGAGGGUACAUAGGGUAGCAUACAGACUGCAACAUCUGCUUGUCCUUCGACAACAUCACAACAUUAACUAACCACAUGGGUCAAACACAUAAAUAAAUAAAUGUCGGACAAUAUGGUGCAACAGAAUCGGAGCUAGCAGAGACACGGGAAACUGCCUUAGAACAUCCAAAGAGACGCCCCCAUAGCCACACAUCAUUACUUCGUGCAUCCACAAACAAAAGGAUAGGGUCCUGCAUAUAUAUAGAUAGAUAGAUUUGCAAGCCCAGAUCAGCAGGAUGUCGGAGUCAUUUCUGAUGCAUAAUAAGGUUCAUGAUAUUUAAACAGUGAUAAUGGUAG
RNAcentral lists this long non-coding RNA (48483 nucleotides) under Triticum aestivum (bread wheat). Its description in RNAcentral is "long non-coding RNA (TAES_LNC016472)". The stretch from base 551 to 685 matches the Rfam family "MIR1120/MIR1122 microRNA precursor family". Lineage: Eukaryota; Viridiplantae; Streptophyta; Magnoliopsida; Poales; Poaceae. The record is from RNAcentral.